AUCGAUAUAGAGAUAUUAAAUAUGUUUAAAAGGUAAGUUAUACAAAUAGAAAACUAAAAUAAAAAUGAAUUAAAAUAGGAUGAAUAGUUUAUAAAUAAAAAAAAUCGAAAAUUGGGUCAAUAAAUAAUCCGCGCAAGUAUGUAGGGACUAAAGCUGGAAAUAUUCUAGAUGCCCAAAACGCGACACUGUACAGUGGACUAGAGUGCAAACACGCACAAAUUGCAGGGGUAAUAAAGAAAAAUCCUGAAGCAUGAGUGCGAGCUGAUUGAAACGUGGUGCGAAAGGAGAGGGGCCGAUUUUGGAAAUAUACCCUCAUUGCAAAAACACGCGGGUCAUCGGGGCAGCAAACUGGAUCGAGUCGGGCCCGAUUAAACGACGUCGUUUCUGAGCCAUUGAAACGGGCUUAAAACGGCGUCGUAUUUGGUCCUUUAAAAGGACCUAAAGCUGAAUCAUUCGGCCAAACAAACCCUAGCCCCUCUUAUCCCUCUCGUCUGACCUUAGAACUCCCCCUUUAGCGCCGAUCUACGUCUAUCAGCAGAGACGAACAGCCCCGGGCUUCAAAGGAUGACCAUUUCGGUCGUGGGAUCCCUUCUAAACCCCGAUUUCGACGAAAUGAAGGGGAUACGACGGCCAACUCGCAAGGUAAACCUCUCUUUUGCUUUCUUUUUUUGUUUUUGAGAUAGAUUUCAAAAUAAAAAGAAAAUAGAGGCGUAAAAAUGAAAACAGGGAACAACCUUUGCAGAAUAUUCAACUUCUUUGUAUUUGAUUCCUCUUUUUUUUGUGUAAUCUGUUCGUAGUCGUAUUACAAUCGAAAAUCAAAGGCUUUAUAGCCGAAUAACUAAAGAAAACAACAAUUUUUGUCCUCUGCUUUUGUAUUGGCUUGUUGCUGCUUUCGUUUGUUUUCUUUUGCAGGUACGGAGCACGGGGCUGUGCGUUGGCGCUCGGGUACGGGUCUAGGCUAGGGUACGGAGGUGGUACGGUCGUUGCGAGGCUGUUGCGGCGCAAGAGGGUGACCUAGGGUUCCCGAAAGUGUUGAAGUUUUUGGGCUUUUUGGGCUAUUCGGGAUUGGGCUUAUUGGGCUAGGAUAUUAAGUUUGGUUUUUGGGUCAUGUAUUGGGUUUUAUAUAUUUUUUGUAUUUGUUUGUUUUGUGUUUACACGGGCCCAGGCAGAUUUGGCCCAUUACAAUGUAAACAUCAAAAGUUAAAUUUAUUAUUAUACUAAUAAAAAUUAUGUACAAUUGAUAGAGACAUUAACAAAAUAAUUAAUUGUCUGAAAUUGCUCACUUAUUAUAAUUACUCACUUAUUGUGAAACCGUAGAAUUAAUUUACUUAAUUUUGAAAAAAAUCUUCUACUUCAAAUUUUUUUUAUACAAAUUAAAUAAUAUACUUAAAAAAAUAACUCCACACAUGAGAUUCUCUAGUGAAUUAUUAUGAUACUUAAGACUAUUACUUUCAUAGCUACAGUUUGAUCUCAAAUAACAUCCAAAUAAUAGAGUUUGGAAGUCUGUCAAAUCAAAAUUGAGUUCAUUUUAGAUUAGUGAUAAUUUUGAGUUUAGAUUUUUGGGUUUAAAUAAUUAUUUUAUAGUUAUUUAUUUGGUUUGUGUUUUAGUUUUUUUUUUUUUUAUAAUUUAUGUUUGGGGUUAUCAUUUUCAAUAAUAUUAUCUCUAAUAUUUAAAUUGGCAUCUUUCUUAAAAGUACAAUAUACAUUAUUACUUCACUUAAUAUUUAGUGAUGAAAAUAACUUUGUUAUUUUAGUGAAUACAAGGAAAGUAAGCAAGGGUUUUGGCUCCGCCUCAAAUAUAAAAUUGUAAUUUUAAUUCCUUAAAUAUAAUUAAAUUAAAAAUUAAUAUGAGAUAAAAUUAUGUUUCAAUUCUCUCAAAAAAUAUUUAAUUCCUUUAAAAACAAUGAAAUUAUAAAUUCAUAUAAAACAAAAUCUAUAUUUUACUACCUUAAAAAUUUAUAAUUGAAUUUACCUCUAGAAAAAAGAAGUGAAUCAGUGUGAUCUAAAUUUUAAGCAGAGUUGUGAUCAUAUUGCCCAACUUGGUACUUUCGAAAGUCAAAAAGUAUCGAGUGGUACCACCCAACAAUGCAAAAAGUCAUGCUUAUCGACUGGUACUACCCAACAAUGCAAAAAGUCAAACAUGUUCGUGUGGCUGCCUAACGCUUUUUUUUUCCUUUAAAUAACUUAAAAUUUUUGAUUAAUUAUAAAAAUAUCUAAAUUAAAAUGAUUUCCACGGUAUUAUAUAAUCACACUUCAAUCAAUUUAAAAAGCGUAAUUAUUUUAUUAGAUCCUUAAACGAUUUAUAUAAUUACGAUUCAAUUUAGUACUAUCAAUUUAUCGAAUUGUACCACUUAAAAAUUAUUAUUAUUUAAAAUACAAUCAUUAAUCGAUAAUGAAAGGUUGACAGAAAUUGAAUCAUUUACGUGUAAAAUUUUUAGAUUGGAUUAUUUUCAUAAUUAAUAAUGCCUUUGGAUUUUGUCCUCUGCAGCUAAGAUUUAGAAAAAGCCGUAGUUAAUAAUUGGAUGGAUAUGCAAAACUUGGACCGACCUUAUUUGUUCAUUUCUACUCAUAAAAUAAAUAAUAAAUAAAAAAUAUCAGAAAAGUGUAAUUAAUGUGUAUCAAAACGUAAUAAUAAAUUAUUUUUAAUUGUUGCCUAUAAAUAUCAAUUAAAAAUACCUAAAAUGUGAGGUCAUUUUAAUUUUAGUAAGAAGAAAAAUUCUGUUGGGAGAUUUAGAAAAUGGCAGCCUCAUGCUCUUUUUGACAUUUUCUAUGGUUCAUUGUUGAAUAGGCCUAAAUUUUACUCUCUUUAUAUAUUUAUAUAAGCACAAUUCGGACCAAGCUCAAGUUAACUCAUAAACCAAUUCUACAAUUCUUUUAUAUUAAUAUUUAUAUAUUUUUAUUUUUAUAAACAAGCAAAGAAUCAAGAAAAAAAUGGGAUAAAACUCAUUCAUCACAUAUUUAAAUAUUAGGAUUGAAGCUGAUUAGGUAUUAGUUCGGUUGGUAUCGAAAUUGUUGUAGUAUGAGAGAACGUGGAUUUAAGCGUACUCAAAUACGUUUAUUUUUUUAUUUAAAAAUUAGAAUGAGAUUAUGACUGCUUUGCAAUUGUACAUGUCAAACUUGAACUUAGAUAAGUGACAAGCUAAAAUAUAAUUUUAUCAGUAUAUUAAUUUCUUAUGUCAAAAUCUUAAGAAUAUUAAAUUGAAAUUUUAUCAUAUUAAAAAUUAAAAUAUAAUUUUAUCUUUAUAUUACUUUAUAAUUUUAAAUAAAUUAAAGAGACUGAAAUGAGAUUUUAUUCGAGGAUAAGGCUCAUGUUUACUGUCUUAGCGCGGUUUUUGACAUGGGUACUCAAUGAAUCCGGUUCACCAACAAUGCCUUCGAAUAUUAUAGGGGUAUUGAGCAAUGCAUUGAAUAAUAUUCAGCCAUCAACUGAUUAAAACAUUAAAUAUUAAUGUUAACGUCUAAGUAGGGAUGUAGCUAGAGGGGUAGAUUAGAUAGUGGCCUUGUCCUCCCUUAGUUAAGGGGUAUAAUAUUUCUUUUAGUCCCUUUUAGUUAUGAAGUAUUCAAUUUAAUUAUCUUUUGAACAAAUUUUUAACUUUAGCCACCAAACUUUUAAAAUUUUAUUUUGGCCCCCUAAUAAUGAAUUGUUGGCUUCACCCCUGAGCCCAAGUGUAUUUCAUACUAAUAUAACAUUGUUUGUCUUAUAUUCCAUGUUAAUAAAUAAUUUAGAAUUAUAAAAUUUUAAAUUUUAAAAAUUCAAAAAGAUUAAAAAAAACAUGAAGUACACUUAGAUUGCCAUGAGAGUUUUCAUGUUUAAAAAUUUAACGUUUUAGUCAAUACUUUAGUUAAAAAAAUAACAAUUUGAUUAUUUUAAUAGGUCAAGGGCUAAAUUUAACUAAAAAAAGAAUAAGAGUUAAAUUGAUAAAAGAUGUAAAUAUUAAAGGUUUAAUUUAUAAAUAUAUCUUAAAUUAGAAACAAAUUAGGGUUCUUUUCUCCCUUUUUGGUCGAUAUUUCCCUUUUUCUAGAGACUAAAAGCUAUAAUUAAAUAUUUCAUCUUUGCUGCUAUAACCCAAAACUGAAAAUCGAUAAAAUGACGAUCAAAUUAUUAAUGGAGUUGGUGAGCCAUCAUUUGACUUUGUGAAGCCAUACAAUAAUAUACCAAAAGCCCUUUUUUGAGGAGAAAACUUCAAUCUUCAGCAAACGCGUUUUUUUCCAGUAUAUCAUUUAAACACUUUUUACAUUCUCUGGCGUUUUCCCCCAAAAAAAAUACUCACCAUUUUUUUCUUUAAUUUUCAGCUUUCUUCCUUAUACAUUCUUCGUAAUUCCAAUCUACCAUCACAUAAACAAAGAAAAAAAAAUUCUGGGUUUCUUAUCGAAUCUCCAAAUCUUUCUCUUUCAUUGAAGAAAAAAAUUGAAAAACAUGUGUCCUAUGAGGUUCUUAUUGGUGUUUUUCUCGGCGAUUUUAGCUGGGUAUUUCGCUUGGAGAACGGCGGUGGGUUCAUCGGUUGAUGCCGAUGAUGGGGUUUCUGAAGAUUCAAGGAAAAUUGUUGCCAAAAAUGAACAAGAUUUCAGUUUCAAAAUGGUAUGCAUUCGUGUUCGUAUUAUCAUAUAAAUCAUGUUCAUAUCAUUAUAUUAUUUAAAUUAACUGUAAUUUUUUUUCCUGUUAUUGAAUUUCCUGAUGGUUAAGAAUGGAUUCUGGGUAUUUGUUGAUAUGGCUAGUGGAAGGUAUUUGUGGAGGAAUUUUAAGGAAUUGAAGAAUGAUGAGAAAUUAAAGAGCUCUUAACAGUUUUUGAUUGAAUUGUAGAAUUAUGUCAAACCACUUUUUUUUUUCUUUUUCUUAUUCAAUAUGUAUGAAUGUAUGUAUGAGAAAUUGAGUUCGUUGUUGUUUCCAAAGAUAGGGAAAUUUGAAUCUAAAGAGAUGAAAAGUUCUCAAUUAUUGUAGAUUUACCAUGUUUUAUGAAUGAAAAUUUAUAUAAUUAGAAUCUUUGGUUCUUAACUGAAUUUCCUGCAAAUUUUAUUUCUAUAUUAGAGCUUAAUGCUUUUUGAAUAAAUUUUCGAAUUUUAAUUUUGUGGAUAGAGAAAACAGUUUUCGGUGAGUUUUAAUCUGUUUAAGAGUUUGAUUCGAUUAUAAAUUUAAUUAUAACUCGAUGUGGUUAUCGGAUAAAAUUCUUCAUUUGUAAUUGUAAUGACUUGUAGUUGAGUUAUAAAAACUACAUAAAAGCAUUAAAAACUGUUAACACUAUAUUAACAAAAGAGGAAAUAAGGAGGAGAAGGUGGUGGAGAUAAGGAAGUUGGUUUAUCUAUAUCAAGCGGAGAGUCGGAAUAGGUGGAGGAGAGGAGGAAUACUUGGGUUUUUCUCAAGGAAGGAGGAGAUCCUUUGUCUGUCAUGCUAUAGGGUAUACAUAAGGGGUAUCCCUAUCCCGUUAUGCCAUGUAGUUGACAAUAUGAAAGGUAGCUUGCUUACGUGAUCGGCCAGGUUGUAGAGCCGUUACAAAUCAAUUGCCGCCAUAUGUAGUACUGUGUGAUCCUGCUAUGAUAUUUUCUUUAUAGAGAUUGUUAUACUUUGUGGUCCCCACAAAGAGUUCGUAGUGAAUCGUCUUAACUAGGACUUGUGGAGGGUCACUUAUGGAUGGUUUUGGACGAGAGUCACAUUAAAGGAUGCUAAAUGGAGGGUUACACUCACGGAUCGUCCCAAGCAAUCCUCGAUGAAGGGUCCAUGACAAGUCACCUCUUGCCCUACCACGUGUCCUUGUCAAGACAAAUGUAUAACAAAAAUAAAUCAUAGUUGUUGAAAUCAAACUAAGUCAGACGGUUGACAUGGUUGAAUUAAAAAUCAGUUGGUUCAACAAUUCAAUCAAUAUUACAAAACCUUUUUUAAUCGAAUCAAUCUGAACCACUACAAAAUUGAAAAUUGAAACUGGUUUGGGUUAAUGUAAUCUUUAACCUGUUUAAUUUUCAUUACAUGUCAACCUUAAAAAAAGCUAAAAUGUAAAAAUUAAAAUAGAAAUAAAUCGGGUGAAUUAGUUUUUAUUUGGCAUAAUAAUUUAUUUGGCCCAUCAACUUUAUAAAAAAAAGUCAUUUUUGCUCUCCAUUUAAUUUUUAGUCUUUUUUAACUAAGGUUUGUUAAUUUUAAUAACGUGAAAUGCACGUGGAUUAUCAUGUCACAUUACAAUUAAUUAUAAAAGAAUAUUUUAAAAAAUUAAAAAUUAAUUAAUUAUUAAUAUGACAUUCACAUUACAGUUCAAGUGCACGAUACGUUAGGAAAGUAAAUAAAUGUUAACUUUUAUAUCUAUUUUGAGAUGAUUUGAUAAAUAGUAUAAAUUUAAUAUCCAGAAGAGAUGAAAAAUUAAAUAAAGAGUUAAAAUAAUUUUUUUUAAAAAAUUGGAAGAUGAGAUAAACCUUUAUGAUUUUUGCCGUUUGCUACGUUGCUGUUAAAGCCGCCGCCUACGGUUUGCUAUUGCCUCUUCAACGUCGAAAUUGAUUUUAAUAUAACAACUAUACAAAGGAGAAUGAGUAACAAAUAGUUGUAAUUAAAAAAUAGGUUGAAACACAUUUGAAACCAACAACUUAAUUUCUUAUUUAGAUUUUUAAAAUUUUUAAAAUUUUAAAUUAAUAAAAAUAAAAUUAUUUUUUAACUCUCUUAAAAAUGAUAAAAAAUUAAUUUAAUCUUUUAAAAAAUUAUAAAAAUAAAAACUAUUAAAAUAAUAAAAUUAUAUUUUUACUAUCAUAAAAAUUAUAAUUUAAUUUCGACUAUUCUAAUUUUUUUUUUCCUAACAGCCCGCUUCAAAUAAUGUACGAGAAAAAGAUGAAGGCUUUGAGAUGAGAGUUUUUGCUUUGGAAGAAAAUAAAGAGGAUGCUAGGAGACGCGUGAUUUUUUUAAAAAAUGCUUUGUAUUUGGCACCAUUACGCUCUCUUUUUCUUUAUUGUCAUAGUUACUUCAAUGUUUUGUACCAUGUGUAAAUUUAAUGGUUUUGUGGGUAGCUUUAAUGACAAAUGGUUUUACUGUUGGUUUAAAUUUUUAUAGGUUAAUGUAGGCUUUAUAAAUUUUGAAUUUAGUUUUUUUAAUUUAUUUUUUAGAUUUUAACAUUCAGGUCUAAUUAUUAAUAAAAUUAAUUAUUUUAUUAAAUUUAUUGAUAUAACAUUUUGAAAUAAAAAAAUUCACUUAUAAAAAUUUUAAUUAAAAAAAUUGUAAUGAAAUAAAUUUAACAAAAAAUUCUUAACAACGUUCAUAAUUGAACUUAAAUUUUAAAUUUUGAAAAAUAAAAGAACUAAAUUUUUAAGAAUAAAAGUAAAUAGGCUAAAUUCUAAAUUUAAAUAUUUUCAAUUCAUUCCCUAGCAUAUUUGAAUUUAGAUAAACUUGAAAAAAAAUUUUGAGGAAUAUAUUGGCUAAUUUAAAUAAGAAUUUUAUAUAAUUUUUAAUUUUAUUGUUUUUAAAAAAAUGAGAAGGAUUUGUUUUUAUUAUUCUUACUAGAACUCAUACCUUAUCGAGCAUGUUAUCCUAUUUUAAAAUUGGUUUAUUCUACAGUAGCAAAUGCUUCGUCACAAUAGAAAUUUUAAUGAAGCGAGUUUAAUCAUUAGUCAAGUCGCAAUAAAUGAGGGAACUAUUUUGAAAAUACUAAAAUCUCGAGCUCGAGGAUAGAGUUAUCUGAUAAAAAGACCACUUGUCAUCUUUUAAAGGCUAUUUAAAUUUAAUUUUAAAAUAAAAUAAAUUACCAUGUAAAUAAAUUAAAAGUUUAAUUAGAUGCUGCAAUACUUUCAAGUGGGACCCUUUUUUCAACUAAUUAAAAAAGAUAAUUACUUCAUCAAGUCCCUAAACAUUUUUCUCCUACACGUUUCAGUCCAGUACUACUAAUUUAUUAGACAACUUCAAAAAUUUUGUUUUCUGUGAGGAAUUUUUAGGGCGGUGCUGCCUGAAAAAAAGUGGCAUCCAACUUUACCAUAAAAAUCAAGUUAUUCUCAUAAUUAAUAUGGAUUAUUUUCAUAAUUUUUUAAACUUAUAGAAUCAAAUUCCUAAAAAUCCCUGCUUUGUUACUUUCUUUCCUAUGUCUAUGCCGUCUUAAGCUCCUAUAAUAUAUUAUUUUCUCUCUAAAAUUAUAUAUAUUUUCAGUCAAGAACUAAAAUAAUAAAAUUGGUUUCUCUUUUGUUUCCUUUUUACUCCCCCCCAAACUUGCUAAGCUUUCAACUUUCAAUCAAGCUUCAAUUUUUGUCCUCUCUCUCAGGUACUUGCCAACCUCUUUGUUACUUACUUUCAUGUGAUGGGUAGUUUUUAAUUUCUAGAAAACUACUCAAAAUGUGAUAAAAACAUGCACCCUUUUUUGGGGUUUAUAUGUAAAUGAUGAAGCAUUUUCCCUUUGGGGUUUAUUGAAGUCAUCACUGUUAGAUCACAGCAAGUCUGCUACGAAAUGAUUUGGGUUUUUAAGCUUUGAUCCUUUUAUAGAUAAAUAGAAGAUGCAUUUUAUGUGUUUGCUGUUUUGCCUGUCCUAUUAGCUGUUUAAUGGUGGAGAUUUGCUUCCCUCACUAUGAUGUGUAGGAUUAAAGAGAUUUGUGAAGAAAUAAGCAUGUUUUAUCGAUUUGAAACAUAUUUUAGAAGAUUCCAAGUAGUGACUAGAACAAUGUGAAUGAAAUGGAAAAAUGAAAAUCAAGUUUAUGUAUCCUUCAGCAGCUUAAUUUUUAGAAAAUUAAGAACAUUUUAUGAAUUUCUAUAAACUAUGAAGCUAUCUUUCUCUGAUCCGACACAUAUCUCGAUAUGGAUACGAGGGUAUGAUGUUCUAAGAGGGCUCCAAGUAUUCAAUACUGACACCUGGGUCUGAACAUCGUAGUUAUUAAGUAUUGAGGUUUAGAGAGGCUUCUGUAUAUACAAUGGGCACUAUAAACCUCUCAUACUAAUUUUUAGUGGUGUCUGGUAUACAGUAAUCUGGUUGUCAUAUACUGAUUCUGUGUUUACUUCUCGUAUUCAUAGAGAAUUGAAGACUAGGGAAGUUAAGAUGUCGACUAUGGGAAAUUCGACAAAUAUAUUUUGGCAAGAAUCGCCUGUUGGGAAGCUUGAGAGACAGAAGCUACUUAACCAAAAGGGUUGUGUUGUAUGGAUCACUGGUCUUAGCGGAUCAGGUUUAUAGUAAAAAAUGACUCUCUUAUCUGCUUCUAUUUUUCCUUCCGAGCCAUGAUUCCCAUUCCUUGAAACUUAAAACAAUUAUCAGCUUGCUUUGCUUCAUCCUGGUUUCAAAUUUGAAAAAUGCUUCUUAGAUCCAAUGAUCAUGUUUCAGGUAAAAGCACACUUGCAUGUUCACUAAGUAGGGAACUUCAUACAAGAGGCAAGCUAUCCUACAUACUUGAUGGGGACAACGUUCGGCAUGGAUUAAACAAGGAUCUUGGUUUCAAGGCUGAAGAUCGAACAGAAAAUAUUCGCAGGGUUGGUAAGUAUGUUGAGAAGUAGAAGUCUAUAUAGCUAACGUGUUUGGUUUAUGUAAAUAGUUUUGUCCAGCAAGCAAGACUUGUAAUAUAUGACUGCAAAUCGUGGCAAAAGUUCAGCUAUCUGCAGUUUAACUGUUAUUAAACACUGUAUUAUUACUGUAUAUGAUUGUUACCUUUGUUGCUUCAACUCUUCACUUUCCCUGAAGUACCUGUAUUUGACACAAUAUGAGGGAAUGAUUCUCCAAAGAUAUGAAUAGACUUAGAAAUUUUUUUUAAGUAUACCCAUAUCCAACAUUCACAUUGGAGUCCGGGUAACUAGAUGGUUUACACGAGUUCGGCUUUUCUUUUGGAAGAGCCCGGUUAGGGCACUGUUCUUCUUUGAUUUAUUUCAUUUCAUGUUGUUUCUAACAUUUUGUGCGUCUAAUUCAGGUGAAGUGGCAAAGCUCUUUGCAGAUGCUGGUUUAAUCUGCAUUGCCAGUCUAAUAUCUCCAUAUAGGAAAGACCGUGAUGCAUGCCGAGCAAUGUUGCCGGAUGCUUUUAUCGAGGCAAGGCUCCUUCUAAGUGGUUCUCAUCUUUGCUUAUGUUGUUGUUUGUACUUAAGUUGAAAUGCCUUUUUCUUUGUACACUUGCAGGUUUUCAUGAACAUGCCCCUAGCAUUAUGUGAAGAGCGAGAUCCGAAAGGUCUUUACAAGCUUGCCCGUGCUGGAAAGAUUAAAGGUGUGCUCAAUUUCCUUCAUACAUUCAUUAACAUUAAGUUGCCUUGUUCAUGUUAACAGCAAUAUAUACGCAUUGUCAUAUAGAAAUUCAUGGUGAUUUCUUUUUUAAUGGAUGAAUUGUAGAAGAUGAUUCCUCAUUUAUCCUUUACCAACUAAUUGCGUUACUUUUGCAGGUUUUACUGGCAUAGAUGAUCCUUACGAACCACCUUUGAACUGUGAGGUAUGUGUUUAAUUGAAUACGGAAAUUAUUAGCGGCGGCAUUGUGAAUUAAAAUUAGGCUAUUAUUCUGAUAUAAAUACUGCUAGUUUAUGGGUAAUCGUUUUCCUCCUUUAUAGAUAGAACUAAAUCAGAAAGAUGGAGUUUGUCCCACACCUAGUGCCAUGGCUGAGGAAGUAGUUACUUACUUGGAGGACAAAGGAUAUCUGCAAGAUUAGCGACCAAUUCUCGGUUGUCAUGGUCGAGCAUUCUCAGUCGAGUUCAAUUGCCCGCCAACUUUGUAUUCCUUUCGUCCCAAGUAAUUGUUAUCUUUUAAGUGGACAGGGUUUUCAAGUUAGUGGGCACAUCAAGGUCACUAACAACUCCAUUUUUUUACUGGAAAUUACGGAUUGAGGUCAUUGGAUUUAUUACUUGUAUUCUGGAUAUUUAUGAAUGAACACCACUCGUGUCUCAGUUUGAACUUCUUAUAUUUACAACAUUCUAGUCUUUAAAGCGAGUGCAUUCAAGUGGAUAUGCCAUGUCGCGGAAUAAACUCCGUACUGGUGCAUUCAUGGUGGAUCCAGGAAAAUUGUGGCAUGCAUCGAAAAUCAAGUCUUAUUUGUGUAUUUUAUCCUGCAGAAAUUGAAACCGAGAUGGCAGGUGCAUUUUCAAUUCAAAUCAUGUAAUGUAUAUAGACAUUAUUAUCAUCAAUUGCGAUAAAUACUAGUAAAUAAAGAGACUGUAAAAUAACGGUCGUAACUGUCUGUAUAAAUAAUUUCAUUUUGAAAAUUCUGUGUCCCAUGAAAUUCAGAAAAAUAAAAAUUGAGUCAGUUUUCGAUUAACUACAAACCGGUACUUCCGACCACCAUGGAGAACAGCAUCAAAUGGUUUGCUUCCAUAGGGCUUUCGGUGAACCUCCAUACUUGUAGCUUUCAAGAACUUAAAUCAAUUUCCCGAAGCCUAUCAAUGCUGUUUAGAUGCUUUGUUGAGUUGUAUUCUUGUGCAUCGAGGAGUUCGUUCGAGUAUGUUCUUCGGAUUGAUCGAUUCCAGGAUUUUUUACAACAGUUUGCAAGAUGUCCAUCACACCUCAGUCGUACUGUGACCUGCAACAAAAACAAACUAGGUUAACCUGUUAUUUAUGUUAUUCCCGGUGUACCCAUUUCACUUGUUUGCAGUGCUUCCGUCUCUUGAACAAAAAGCAGACAUAAAGCAUGAGUCAAAGACCAAGACAUCUAUUUGAUGACAAAACAAAACAAUUGAAAUUUUCAAACCGAUCAAAUGCACUUCAAUAACAGUUAUAAACACUUAAAAGUCAUAUCAACUUCAACAAUCAUCCGAAAAUGAGAGCACCGGAAUGAAAAUGUUAUUGUCCUUAAGUCACCAACAAGAGUUUUAUUCUUGUACCUACUACUUAAUGGCUUGUUUUACAACAUGAGUAACAGUCUGACAAGCGGGUGCUACCGUUGAACAUGAACUAACACACAAAUCAUAACAUUGAAAAAUAUCAGCAUGCCAGAAAUAAAUGAACCACCAUGGAUUUAUCAAUAAGAAAGAAUUCAAUCAUGAAAGUACCUACGAUUUCCUAGCUUAAUGAGAUGAACAAUAAUGUGUCACUCUUUGAUUUUAUAAGUAUAACUCGUAAAUAGUUCUCCAGUUAAUUAAUUUCUUGAACAGAUAUUCGAAAACUUCAAAAUCUAUCACGAACCUGACUCAUUUGAGGACGAAGAAUAGGAGAGUGCUCGAUGCACAAAGAGGCAGUCGAAACCAUGCGAUUCGCUUCCUUUGGAUCAUAAUCAUCACCUAGGGAAGGAUCAAUGAGCCCUUUAAUAUCAUUCUUAUCAAGCAGAGGCUUUGCCUACAAGAAUCAAAAGAGUAUAAGUAACCAUUUUUUUUACGAUUACAAUAUAAUUGGAGUUUGGAGGGAUCAAAUUCAUCUCGAGGAAAUAUACCCAUAUUACGAUGCUUUGUUGUUGAUCAUCUAAAACUCUCCGUCCUGCAAUGAGCUCCAAAAGUAGAACUCCAAAUGCAUAUACAUCGGUUUUCUCAUUAACUAAGCCAUGCAUGAAGUAGUCAGGAGCCAAGUAGCUGCAUCUCGAGAAACAAAUGUGUCAGCGUUACCAAAGAAGUAUUUAUUAACUCGAUACAGAUACUUUAGGCUUACAAACCCAAAGGUGCCUUCAAAUUUCGAUACAUUGUGGUGAGUCCACUGUUUUGGUAGCCACUUUGCAAGGCCGAAAUCGCAAAUCUGGAUGAGAAAUCGGCCAACAUAAUCAAACAAUAGAACGAAGAAAGGGAAUGGUUAUACAACAGAUCAUUAAGAGCUUUAUAAAACAACUGUCAUAAACUUAGUUCUUAUACAUAAAUUGUUUUAUAUUAACAAAGAAAAGCACGAAACUGACAUCCCUGCAAGCCUCUUGGCAGGAUAUGGAGUCAGAAAACUCGACUUUCAUAACUAAAACACGACAUGUAAUAUUCAAAACUUUCACCAUAACUACAGCCACCAGAAGAGUGAGCACAAAGGAAGAAAGCAAUCAAUAUCUCACAUACGCUUCGCAUUGGCUCGACCCAAAGUUGCCAAAUUUACGAUCUAAAAAUUAAAGCUUGCACAAGGCUCCGCCCGCACUUAAUGAAAGCGUCCGGUAUAACAACCAUGAUCUAGGACAGCAACAUAACCAAUAUAAUUUGACCAGUUUAACUAGGAGAAAUGGAAAAAAUAACUAGUAUUAGGUGAUCCAAUGUAUGGCAUUGAAAAGUUUCAGAGUAGAGCAAAUAGAAAUCCUUAUCGUUUUGCAGAUGAAAUGACCUAAGCUAAAAAAUACACAUGGUCGUCUAUGCCUCCAUAAGCAAUGAUUUUUUUUCCUGCAUCUACUCAUUAGUAGUAUAAAUUUUCUCGUUUUACAAUGUUAUACUAUAUUACCCUUACUCGUCAUUUUCCUUGAAGUAUUCUUAUCCAACACAUAUUCAAACAUGAGUAUUAGAGUAUGAUCCUCCAAAUAUAUCGAAAAGGCUUACAAAAACAAUGUAUGGGGAAUAUUAGUUUCUGCAUGUUUCAACGCAUUAUGCAACUUUUUUGUGUUCCUCUAACUAUAUGUUCUUAUGAUUUAGUACGUAAAUAGCAACAGGGACAGUGAAGUAAACCAUGUCCUGCAAAAUUAUUGAAAAUUUUCAAAGAGAAUAGUAAUAUAGAUUUUGGCCACUAAGUAUGCAUAGAUCAUUUCGAUAUAUAUAUAGUAGCUAGUUCACAUAGAUAACCUGGAUUACUUAAUAUUGGAGUAGCAGUUUCAUGAUUUCUUUGUAUCAUGAAUGACAUAGAUGUGUGUUUUGGACUCCGUACACUCCGGAUUCCUGCAAAUCUUUCACGGCCCUCUGUUUUUAAAACAUCUAAUUCGGUGUAGCCUACGAAUUUAAGACUUGAGAAGUACCUGAGGCUCAAAAUUCUCGGUAAGCAGAAUGUUUUCAGCCUUGAUAUCUCGAUGAAUAAUACGCCUUUCGCAACUCUCGUGAAGAUAUGUGAGGCCAUCGGCCGUACCCAAAGCAAUCUUAUAUCUUUUACUCCAAUCUAGUAUUCCUUUCGAUCCUGGAUAAAGUCAAGAGCAUCACAAGAUUUCAUAAAAAUUGAAUAAUUACUACUUGAGAUAUACAAUCCAGACCAUUAAGAACAAACCAUGAAGAACCGAUGCCAAACUGCCGAAUGGAGAUAACUGAAAAACAAGGUGCAUUCCUCCUUCUACGCCACACCCAAUCAAUGUAGCAGUGUUCGGAUGGUUUACAUGCGCUAUAAUGCCAAGCUCACUCAGGAAGGCAGCUGUCAUCUCAUCCGAUGUCCCUUUUGUCGCACGUUUUAUUGCGACAAAUCUUCCAUCUUUCAAACAACCCUUGUAGACUAUUGAGUAACCACCCAUUCCAAUUAUGUUUUCUACAAGAAAAAGAACCUUAUAUUCGUCUGCACCACUAAACCUUUAUGCCAUUAUAUUUUACUGUUUUUGCAAGUAUUUGAAGCCUUGAAAUUAAUUGCAUACCGCGGUUAAAGUUGUCAGUUGCAGCUCGGAGCUCGGGUAGGCUAAAGUUUUGUAAAGAAGACUUGUAGUUGUACAAUUCUUGCAUCAUAGGAUCCUCUUCCACCCUCUUGCUGCUCUUUCUUGAUCGCUUCGAUGCAGAGAGAAUGGGGAUCGAAGCGAAGUGCUUUUUCGAUCUUCUUUUCCAUAAUUGGAAGAGUUUUUUCCAGUUAGAAAGUGCUACCGAACCUGUGCAACUAACUAAUGCGUGCGGGCUAUUAUCAGGUGAAUUUUUGUUGGAUUCCGAGCCUUCAAAGCAUGCUUCUAUAACUCCUUUUGGAGACGAUCUAUCUUGUUUCUCCUUUUCGAUGUUGGGGCCCCGUAAUUCUUCGAUGCAAUAAGAAACAAAGAGUGGUAAAGAGCUUGAAGUACUAAAACACAUGAACCACAUAAAGAUAGAGAUAACUACCAUGGGCGGAUCCAUAUGAAGAAACCAUAGCCUCUUGUCUUCUAUGUCUUGCUUGAACAACCAUAUCUUCGAAGUUCUGCUCCGGCCUAUCGCCUGAACCGAUGGAGUCCGAACUGGAAGAAAUCAAUGGUCAUUACAAAUCAAUAAUCCAAAUAAAAAGCUAGAAAUCAGGAUCUGUGCUUGUCUCAUUAUGUUUAUAGGUGACUUUGCUAUGGAGGAGAUAAUUAUAAACUUAGAAGUGAAUGAUUUGUUGAAUAACCAAAAGAAAAAAGAAUGAAAAUCAUAAUCACAUCAAUGAAAACUUGAAAAUCCAAUAUAUAUAUAUAAGCAUUAUUUACGUAACAGGGGAAUAAGAAAUGAUGAAAAUGGGAAAAUUCCUGAAGGAAAAUAACCAAAAAUGCAUGUUUAUCAUGUAUAUUUAUGUUUAGAAAAUCCCCAAAAAUAAAACUUGAAAUCACCACUUAAAUAGGAAUGAAAACCAACAAUCUUCUUUGUAAGACAGAGAAACAGCACAAAAAAAACGAAGAUCUAUACAUUUUUCAUAUCUUUUCCAAAAAAAUCAAAUGGAAGAAGCCAUUGAGAUACCACUCACCAACCAUUAGACAAAAUACCAAAAAGAGCUCAUCUAAUAUUCAAUCAAAAUUAGAAGAAAAACAGAACUUUCAAUAAAACUAAGGAGAAAACAAAUUAAGAACUCAUUUGCAGGCAUUUUUUAAAAGAUAAGACACUCUCAAAUGAGAUGACAUGAGGCAUACAAACCUUAAAGUUGCUUGUUUCUGGUCAUUAAUGUCAGCCAUGAGCACUAUCAAAACAAGCAAAUAAACCAAACCAAACAACUAUGUGACAGAGAGAAAGCAAAGCAAGUAAGAGAAAGAGAGAGACACCAAACAAAAGGGAGAAGAAAAAAUUAUUAGAAAUGGUUUCUAUGAUAUUAUAGCCCUGUUCUUUAGUAGUCAAAUUAAAUUCUGAACCCCACAAAAUUCCCAUUGUUUAUGUUUUGCUUUCUAAUUCUAAGCCCCCGAAAAUGGCAACCUCAAACUCUAAAAAUAACUAUAUAUGGAAAAGUUUUUAAUGCUUUCUCUCUCUCUCUUUAAAGAUUUCUAUGAUAGCAUACAAGGCCUCCGGUGUCGACAGUAUGCUUGGUUUGUUCUAACGUGGUUGAACCCAUUAUUUUUUUUUCAGUUAAAAUGUGCUAAUGCUGUAAUUUAAAAUCCUUAAAGUUAAAAAUUAACUUUUUAUUAUUUAAAAAUAUUAGUCUUAUUGAGUUUUUUUUUUUUUGUAUCUUAGAAAUGGUGUGGUUUGAUUAUUUAUAUGAUAGGGUACUAUUUAUUGAUAAGACAGAUUAAGUAGACUUCAUGCAUGUAGACAUAUUCCCUACUCUAGUCUAAACACGUGUCUACAUGGUUCCGACUUUAUGCAACCUCACAAUACAGAGACCAAGUCUAGCUCGUCAAUCUACGAACUUAACUUGCAAACUCACUCCGUGAACUUAGUAUUUGGGUUAAACCUACGAGUUCAUUAGGAUUCAACUCAGGCCUAAUAAUGAUCAUCCUAACAAGUUUAAUCAUUAUCAUCAUCUGUAAUUUGUCAAAUUUUGUUAACAUGUUUAUUUUUCGCUAAUCAUAUGUCACAUUAUAUGAAAACAAUCAAAUCAAUGUGCGAAGUUGAUAAAUUUUGAGAGAAAAUAUUAAUAAUGUCAAUGAUUAGACUGAAUUUUUUAAAUUAAAAUUUUAAGCAGGUAGACCAAAUAUCAAAUUUUAUCAAAAUACAAUUAUUGACAGCAUAUUUUAAACUAUUUUUUCUAUAUGAAUGAGCUUAAUGUAAUAUUGAGAUUAAUAGGAUUAAUCAAACAAUUUUGGUGUUCAUUCCAUGAGUGAUUUAUAUUAUUCUAAUUGAGUGACAGUUUAGAUUAUUUUAAUGAAAUACAGUCGACCUUCUCUAUAACAGUCAUUUGUUAUAAUGACAUUUCGUUAUAAUAGAUACGUUUUUAGUAUAAUCAAAUUUUUAUGUUUUACUUUAACAUUCUAUAACAGUUUUUCCGUUAUAACAACAACAACAACCAACUAUAGUUGUGAAGUACAUUAUUUAUUAAAUUAGUUCUCUAAAAUAAAAUAUUGUCUAAAAUUUUAAGUAAAAUUAUAAUUAUUUCAUAAGGUUAUUAAUUAUAAUUUAUUAAAUAAAAAAAUUUAAUUAAAAUAUUAAUUUAAUAAAUAUUUAAAUUUCACAUGCAAAAAAAUCUAUUAUUCAUAUUUUAUUAAAUGAAAAAAGAAUCUUUAAUAAGUGGAAUAAAUAUUCAAUAAACUAUGAAGAUCUCCCGUUAAUAUUCUAUCAUAAAUUUGGAACUUCAUAAACUUAUAAAUAGAAUAUUUGAAUUUAAUAACUCAAAAUAAAUUUAUUUAUUUAUUUUGAUAACUCAUACUAAUUAAUUGAACUUGUUAGAUUGAUGAAUAUUAUAAUUAAUUAUGUGAAAGAAUGUAAAAUAAAAUGUGAAUAAAAGUAAUCAUGCAUGCACAAAGUAUAUGUAUUUUAAUUUUAUUAAUUUGAUUUCUACUUUCUCUAUUUUUUUCGUAUAAUUUUCACUCUUUUUAUUUGAUAGAAAUUUAGAUAUAAAUUCUAUUGUAGGUUUAUAAAAAUUAUGUUUCUAUAACAACAUACUAUUCUAGAUAUAUAACAAUCACUUCUCUAUAACAGGUAAAAUCUUGAUAAAAAAGUGGAACUAUUAUAGAGAAAAUUGACUCUAUACAACAUGGUUAUAGACAGGGACAAAACCAAAAAAAAAAAAAUUAGUGGGCCGAAUCCCUGCCAGCCCUUAAUUUAGUCACGAGUUUCGCCCCUAAUUCUAAAUGACAUUUUAUAUGUUUGAUUAAUAAAAUAUUUUAUCUAUUUAAAAAAAUUCUUCUCUCUACAAAACAAUAUAAGAAAAAAAAAUAGAAGUCUAUGCUUUUUUUUUCUGAUUUAAUAUUUUUUCUAAUCAAAUCAUCAUUGUCGUUGAUAGUUUUUUUUUUAUAAUAAUUAUUACCUUAAUAUGCUUAUUUUUUACCAAUCAUUUGUCACAUAAUAUAAAAACAACCCAAUCAACGUGUCAAAUUGAUGGAUUUUACCGGAAAAUUUUUAAAUCGAAAAAAAUAAGAUGACUUAAAUUUUAACCUUUUAAGUAUAGAAGAAAAUGGCUUAAUUAUUAACUUUUUAAUCUCAAAUUAACAACAUAUUUUAACCUUUAAUUUUUAAGUUUUUUACUUUUCAAAAAUUGUAUUUCCAAGUAUCAAACGUUAACGUUUUCUUUUGUUAAUUCCAUCGAACAUAUGAUAAGAAGACAUAUACAUCUUUGUAUUUUUUUUAUCCAAUUGAACAAUUUUAUAUGUUUAUUGAUUUACUUAAAAUUAAAUUGAACAAUUUUAUAUAUUUAUUGAUUUACUUAAAAUUAGGACUAAAGUAAUAAAUUUUAUAAACAUUAGAAAGUUAAUUUUUUUUAUUAUGCUAAUAAAAAAUACACAUUAAACUUCAGUCAUUGACUUAACGGCAGAGUAAUAUAAAAUUCACCCAAAAAAAUUUAAAAUUGUAAUAAUAGAUAAAAGAAAUUUUCAUUAAUUUUCAUUUAAUUACUACUUAAUUAAUAUUAAGUUAGACUUUUAUUUAUAUUAAAUUAUACUCAUUGUUUUAGAAUAAUUAUCCUAUAAACCAAUUAAAAAAAUGAGAUUUAAUUGUAUAAAUAGCUUCCUAAGAGAUUGUUAAUAUUAAAAAGUUAGAAGUAUUUCAAAAUAAUAAAAUAUUAAAUUAAUAGUUAUUCGAUAAGAAAAUAUCAAUUCAUAUUUUUUUAAAUAAUUUCAUUACAAGUUCUGAUGAUAUUUACUCUUUUUUUUUUACAUAAUGCUUAGAACUCUUCCUGUAUUAUGCCUAUACCAAUUAAGUUAAGACUCAAUCUGUAAAAUUAAUAAUAUUAAAAUAUAUAUAAUCAAUAAUAAAAUAAUAUAAUAUUGUGAUAUUUAUUUACUACACUUUUAUUUAGUUUAUUCAUAAAUCUCUUCAAAUUUUCCAUUUAAAAUUUAUUCAAAAACUAUUAUCUAAAACCCUUCGCUCGUUCACUACUAAUUUUUUAAAAUUUUCUAUUUUUGUUUGAGUAAUUAUUUUUAAAAAAAGUGUUAUUCUUUUAUUUUUCUUGUAGAUUUUGAAAGUUAAAUAAAUGAUUUCACUCAAAAUCAAUAUAUUACGAUUAUUAGAUCAUAAUCUGUAAAAUCAUUCACUCGAUCGUUAUAAAUUAUAAGUUCUAAUCAUAUUUAUUCUUUUUAACAUGAUACUUAAAAUUACUCAUAACUUCUCUCAAUUUAUAGAUGCUUCAACACACUCAAACUCACGUCUUCUUACGUUGACAAUAACAAUCACGUCAAGAAAUAAAACUCAACCCACAUGUAACUUGACUCAAUCUAAAUGAUAUUUUCCAAACAUUCAAUUUUAAUAAAAUACAUGAAAAAAUUGUGCCACUUUCACAACAAACAAAUGAUUAACUAAAAAAACACGUUUUGAAAGGUGAAAAAAAACUAAAAAUUAUCAAAUUAUAACACGUUUUAUAAAAUUUGACAAAAAAGAAAACAAAAAGAGAAAAUUAACUAAUAAAAAUUAUUUUUAAAUAAAAUAGAAAUAGAAAAAAUAUAAAUAUUUAGGGUAGUUUUUAACAGUCCACGAGUGAAUUAAAAGUAUGAUGAGUUUUACGUAUAUUUAUGUAUUUUUUUAUUUUUUAUUACAUUCUUACAAGAGUUCUAAUACACUUGUCAAAUCAUCAACAAGCUUGAAGAAUAAUUUUUUAAAAAAUAUUAAUAUAAAAAUUAUAAUAAAAUCACCAAGUCUAUAAAAAAAACUUGAAAAAAAUUAAAUCCACGAGGGGACUCAACUCACGAGUCAAAACCAGUGGCCCAACCCAAAGAAAUAAAUUCCUUCAUACAGCGAAGAAACCAUUUUAAAGUGUAAAAACUCCCUUACGUUUAGCUUUGUUCAUGUCAGGUGACUCUCCAAUGGCUUCUCCAUUAAGGUAAAAACCUUUUCCACAUUCUCAUGCAUGUUAUUUACAUGCAUCAUUUGAUGCACUAGGCUAAUCUGAAAAGGUAAAGCUUUGAACCCUUCUUCUUCUUGCUUGCUUUUUUCUUCUUUUUCCUUUUUUUUUUUUUUUUUGCAAAAUCUAGUGUAUAGCUUAAGCAAUGUUCUUUCUGGGUUUUGGAUAUGAUACUGAGUAUUGAUCAUGAUAAUGUGUUAUCUUAGGUUUUUUUUUUAUUCAUGUUAUUGUUGGUUCACAUUUUAGUUUUUAGUUUCGUUUGACAAAUGAAUUGAACUAUUUUGAUUUAAAGUGUUUGUGAUUCUAUAUGAUUCGCCUUGGGUUUUGAUUUCAUUGCUUAGAAACAAUCUGUUCCAGAGAGGUUUUCUAGGGUUUUCUAGGCCUAAUUUUUCAUUUUUUUCGAUAUAUUUGUAACUGCUUAAUUUAAACCAAGAUUAUACUCUUCUGAAAAAUUAAGGGUAUGGAAGUUUCUUUCUUCCUUUUUUCUUGUCUAGGACUGAAUUUUUCCCUAACAUAAGAACGAUUAAACCUUUGUUACUCGGAAUCAUGAGUGUCAGCUAUGGUUAUGAACUUAUGGUCAGAUUUCUCCGAGUUUCUUUAUGUUUUUGGAGGAUCUUGGAGGCUGUAUCUCUAUAUCUAUGUGUCAGAUACGGAUACUUAAAGAAAAAUGAAGAUUCGGAGCAACAUAGACUGAAACAACUUGAUGAACCUAUGAUGAACUUAGUGAAUUUGCGCAUCUGUUUUGACCCCGAAAUGUCAAAAUCCUGGCUUUUUCGGUUCAUCAGGUAGAUGCUAGUUGAUGCAUUCGGAGUGAUUCCGUAAGGCAUAUGAUAAAGCUUUGGAUUCAUUAAAGAGUUAACCAAACAUCACCUAGUACUACCCUUUCGAAACACAGUUAUCAGUAAUGAACCCAAUGAUGCUUAAUGAUGUGGUAGAUUUCAUUUAUUGGAUAAAAUCUCGAAUUUACAGAAAAGGUUUUGCUUAGAAGAGUAUCUUUUAUUUCCAAAAACAAUUGUUAUGACAAAUAAAAAAGAUUCGCAGUCACAAAAACCAAUCCAGAACAGAAUAUUUGAGGUAAAAGAACUGACGUUACGGAUCAUGAUCGUAACGUAAUUGCUUGUCUUCAUUGCAAAAUUGACUGCUUAUUUGUCUUCUGGCAGGUCUAAAAAUGAAAAUGGUGAAAACAAUGAGCACACAAGUCCCCAGCAACUAGUUCUUGAUGUAGCUCCUCUCAAUUGUGUGCCAUAUGUUGGCCCGACAAAUCCAGAUGAUAAGUCUGUCUCACCUGAAGAGAAUACUGAUGACACAGAAACAAUCGGUCCUGCUAUGAUAUUUCUGCCUUCCGAAACAACCAGUGAGGAUUUGGAUAGUAUCGUGGCUUGUACCAAACAUGGAGUUGCUUUGACUGGGGCUGCAGCAACUGGAACAAUGGGACCGAUCAUAGGGUUAGUGGACAUCGGUGUAUUAGAGGAUUCGUACUAUUUUCGUGUCUCCCUUCCUGGAGUAUCACCGGAUAAAAGUAAGUUUUUCUAGGUUAAUCGCCCUACUCGUGAUCAAAAAAAAAACCUUACCACUCUUGGUUAAGAGAGGAAAGGAUAGUGGCAAAUGGUUCAUGUGAUGCAUAUAAAUCACUGGUCCGCUGUGGAUAUGUACGAUUUUGCCCCAAGUUUUACAUGUAUUCAGAUUUUGGAGGGUCCUUGGAGGAUCACAUCUCAAUACUCAUGUUAAUAUGCAUGAGAUUCAGGAGUUAAGACACCUGUACUUUUAAGAAAAAUAGAGUUGGAACAACAUAAGGUUAAAAUGUAUGUCUGAUCCUGGUAAAAGUAUCAUGGAGGCCCCUGUAUUGAGAGUAAGAUUGCAUUUUGCCCCCUCAAGAAAUGGGCAAAUUAGUCCAUGUAUAUUAGUUCAAAGAGCAUAUUGGUCCUUUUUGUUAAAAUUUUCUUCCAUUUGUACUGUUAAAAACUUGUGUAGCUGAUGGAAUAACCAAAUAGUAAUACGUGACAUGCCACGUGUACAUCAUGCUGACAUAUAUGGAUUGUUUUUAAUAAUAGACAUGGAUGACAAUUUUAACGAAAGCACCAAUUUAUUUUUUGAUUUAACAUAAAUGGGCUAAUUUGCCCAUUUUUUGAGUGAGGGGGCAAAUUGCAAUCCGAUGCCUAGUCCGUGAUACUUUUACUGUCUAAUCCCUUGAAAUAAAAUGAUGUUUUGAUAAUUGAUUUGCACUGCAGUUUUUCACCCAAUGCCAUUAAACCUCUAUUACAAGCCUUAGGGGUUGAGUUAAUGAUUUUACCGCAAAUGAUAACCGUGUUAGUUGAUUUUACGAGUGCAGAAGACUUCAGCUGUGACAUCGAGUCUGAUGGAAAAGUGCUAAUCAAAGGGUUAACAACAACCGGUGAGAAACUUGUAGUCAAGAACUCUCAAGUCUUUCACAUGCUAACACAAAAUCUAUGCCCAUCUGGACACUUCACUGUUUCAUUCGAGCUACCGGGUCCUGUCGAUCCCGAAAAAGUUACUAGCUGUUUAGCUAAUGGAUUGCUUGAAGCCGUUGUGAAGAAAAGGUAACUGAGGAGGCUCAAAGAGCAAUGGUUAUGGCUUUUUCUUCCCCCUGCAUUGGACUUAGUACUAUGCAUAUGCUUUAAGCAUGAGUUUAGAAAAGGUGAAUAUCCAACUUGAUAUUUAAUGAAUCUGCUACUUUUGGAAUCAAUGAAAUAGAUUUGUCUUAUUUUUGAAAUCAAAUAGUUGGUAUUAUAUUUUUUUUUGUUGAAAUAUAAAACAAAAAAUUACAUAAACUUAUUCAUAAACAGAAUGCCUCUAGUACUGUCUCCUUGUAGAGCUUCUUUAAUUGCCUCUAGAAAUUCUUCGAACAUAUGCAAAUAGUCGUCAUCAUCUGUUCGAGCUACUGCCUUAUUAAAUUCUCUAGGGACAUAUUUCAAGAACUACUUUUCUUCAUUUGAUAAAAUCUAUUAAAUUCGUCUAACCAGAGUGGAAUUUAAUCUUUCAAUUUUACUGUCUUCAAUAAUUUUUACAACCUCAAAAUUAUUUUUUUGGAUAACGAACUCAUCAUAAUCUUGUUUAUUAAUCAAUUAAACCAUCCAAAAUGUCCCAAAAUUCCUCAAGGAAAACAGGACACUUCCCGAAGAACCAAUUGAAAAAUCCAUUGAAUGAGCCUGUUGAAUAUUCUCACUUUAAAUUUUCAGAAUCAAACUUACACUCAAGAAUCCAAUCUUUUUCUUUUUUUAUCGAUCUUCUAAAUACAUAAAUUAUACAUAAGGUCACUAAAUUAUUAAAGAAUUUAUUUUUUGGUUAUUUAAUUUUAAAAAGUUACAAAAUAGUUAUUAAAUUAUACGAAAGUUUUUAUGUUAAAUCCAACUAGUGAGCUCUAAGUGACACUUGUUACGGUUUAUCAGUGCCUAUCAGCAAGUAAAAAAUAUAUACUUUAGAUUCAAAUUAAUCUGACAAUCAAUGUCAAAGAUCAAAAAUAAAAAUUGUUCGAAUUUUAAUUUGUAGAUUCAUGACAUUUAAAAUUAUUUCAUAAAAAAAUUUAAAUUAUAAAAGUAAAGAGGAAAGAGAGAUUUCGAUUGACAUAAACGGUGCAAAUAUAUAAGGCUAUAUAAUUGUAAUUUAAACAAUACAACAGCUUAAAUGGAAUUUUUUAAAUAGUUUAAUGAUUAUUUUAUAUUUUUUAAAGUUAAAUAAUUAAAUUAUAAUUUUAUAAAUAAUUUAAUGAUCUUAAUGUAGUUUACCCUUUGUUUCGUCUUCACUGAUGAUGACAGCAUAAAAACCGACAGAGGCAACACAAAUCAAAAAAUUGCCAUACACAAGUCGAAGUUUCGCAAUACAAAAUUAAAAAAUUUCCUAAAAAUUUAUUCUACUAUCAAAAACUGAGACCUCAUUUUGUACCAAAAAUACAAUUUUCAAUCCUCUAAUGCCAAAAAAACAAAAAGAGAAAAGGAAAUGAAAGAAAUAAAUUGAAAAAUUCAACGAACAAUGGAAAGCUUUCCCUCUUAAAAUGUCCAUUUGCUUCUUCUUUUGCCUCUCCUUACGAUCUCCAUCACUGAGGAAGAAGAUGAAGGAACCCUAAUUUCUCUAAUCCAUUUCAUUGCUUCAUUUCCCCUUAAUCCCAAUCCAACAGAAACCCCAACACAACAGACCCCAAAAACCCAAGCUUUAAACCCCCUUCUCCACUCUUUAAUCAAUGCAAACACAAAAAAGAUUAACCCUAAGAUCCCAAAAAGCAUAUCACUACUUAUCUCUUUCCCAAACAACAAGCAAAGAAUACAAGACCCUAAAAUUACUAAGAACCCUAAAAUUUUCUUCCCGUUUCUUCUUCGCAUUGUUGGCUUUUUCCAUCCUUUAAAUCUUACUCCAUUGAAGCCGUUCAAAAACCCAAGCCCUUCUUCAUCUGCAGCAACUAAAUUUUGAACGAUCAGAUCCAACGGUUGAGGUAAGAUCCUGAGAUUCGAAGCCAAAAUUGACAGCAACUCGAGUGCAAGCUUUGUCGAUCUGUCAGACCCCUUUCUUCUUUUGCUUCUUCUUGCGCAAAUAAUUGGUUUUUGGAUCUGGGUUUUGGGUGAAAGCAAAGGAGAAACGGUGAAAAUGGGAGAUUUCCAUGAACAAUUAAAAGCUUGAAGAGAAAUGGUGGAUUCGAGAAAUGGGUUUAAGAAACUAUUGGUUGUGUAGUGAAGGAUUUGGGAUUUGAAUUGAAUGCUCUUCUCCAUUGUUAUUGAAAAUGGAUUGGUGAAAAAAAAACAAAAAAAUAAAAUGAAAUUUUGAAAAAGAAAUGGAACUUAUACCAUUAUUCUUUUAUAUUGAAUUUCGAUUUUUUUUUUCUUUUUGAAAUGAAAGGAGGAACAAUUUUUGGCGGAUGGGCGAUUGAGCUCCAUCGUGAAUUUUUUUCUCCUAUUUUUCAAAUUUUUGUGGCUUAUUGAAGCCCCAUUAUUUGUCUGAUAAUUCAAAAUCAACCCCAGCCCAGCCCAGUUCGAUAGGUUGGAUUAAAUUGGGCAGAUGACCAAUGUUUCUUUAAAUUAGACCGAUGAUGGAAUCAAUUACGUAAUUAGUUCGAUAUUUUAAUCAAACAAUUUCUUAAAAUUUAAAAAAUUUGAAAUAAUAAUUAAACAAUUUGUUUCAAUUGAUUUUUAUUCAGUUUAAUCGAUUCAUAUCGGUUCUCGAAUUAAUUACAAAGUCCUUCCUUAGAUUAAUACCCCAAUCUAUUCUCGGUUUAGUGCAAUUCAAACAACAUUGCAAAUCACAAAUCAGACCAAAAAAACAAACGUUAAUUGGACAACUCCAAAAAUGUGUGAAGAGGACUAGCUCCAAAUCAAGUCGAGGCUUUCUGAAUCAAAUUAGGGAACGAAUUAGUCAGGCCACCAAUUUGUCAAUCCUACAAAUUCAAUGGAUCCAUCCAAUUCGAUUAAAUAAAUCAUUAAAAAUUCAUAAAAUAAAAAAAUAUUAACAAUUCAAUUCAACCUAUUUUUUAUCUAAUCCAACUAAUUUAUAUCGAUUCCUAAAUAAACCGGUUCAAAACCCUCUUUAAACUAAUAUCUUAACUGAUAUUAAAUCCAACUAGUUUUAUCUAUCAAAUUAGUCUUGAUGAAAUAACUUUGGUUGAAAUUGUAAUCAAUAAUUCUCACCAUAUCUAGAUUAGAUGGAGCACAAGAUCUUUAACUGUUUAUGGGUUAUAUUCAUUGAAAGAUAGAAUUAAGAUUACGGAAUAAUCUUAAUAAAAAUUUCCAACAUGAGGAUGGAGUAUAGGAAGAAAUCUUUAAAAUGGAAAUUUUUUUAUUUAAAUCUUUUAAAAUUUUUAAAAUUUUAAAUUAGUAAAAAUAAAUUUAUAUUUUACCUUUUAAAAAUGAUAAAAAUAUAAUUUAAUUUUUUUAAAUUAGAAAAUAUGCUAUUAAAAUGAUAAAAUUAUAUUUUUACUAUCGUAAAAAUUAUAAUUUAAUUUUCAGCAUUCUAAAAAAAAUUCUAACUUCAACAUGAAAAGUACGCAAAUUGUUGAUAUUAGGCUUUUACCCUAGCAAAGUUAUUUAAAUGGGAAUUAUCUCAUGUGUCAUCAAAUACAGUACAAGCUUAUGCGAAAAAUCGUUGAAAACAAACAGCUUGCAGUCAAUUGGAGAAUUUAACCAAUUUUGGAGGACAUUCACAUUUUGAAGGACUUCGAUGCAGUGAUCAGCAACAAGUGAUGAGGCAUUAGAUUGGAUGGUUAGAAAAGCAAAAAGUAACUUCAACAAAAUCUUCGGGAUGAGUCGGGUCGGGUUAAUGUAAAAUUUUAAAUAUUUUUUUAAGUUUGAUUUGAAAGUAUGGCUUAAAAUUUUAUUCUGGUCUGGCUCAAAUUAAAAAUGUUAAACUUGAGCCCGACUCAAUCCGUCUGUAUUAAAAAAAAUUAGAUUAUUAUUUUUAUAUAAAAACAAAUUUUAAAAUAUAAAAUACAUCAAAUACAUUACAACCAUUAAAAAUAUAAGUCAUCUCUGGCGAUGAAUCAAUAAUUCUAAGUGCUAUUCUUCUGUAUUCUUGAUAAACCUGCAUUUAUAUAUAGACGUAGGAGAAUUUAUUUGGGAAGUAAGAAGCCCUUUUGACAUCUCUUCAUCUGCAAAGAAUUAUUGGUGUGAAAACACAGAAAUAAAUUGUUGAUCUUUGAAUAGGAAAAAAAGUGGAUCUGCAGGAUCCCAAAUGAAUUGGCUUAUUCGAAAAAAGCCUUGUUCUUUGGAAGAUCUAUCUCGUGCCUGGUACUAUAUGGUUCUACUCUACAAAAAUGUCGAAUCAUUCUCUUGAAGCUCAUCCUUUUCAUCAUAAAUGAUCCGUUUGUCCCGAAAUGACCGGGCCCAAUAGAGAAAUCCCAAUUCGUUCGGCCUUUCAAUACAAUCAAAUAGAAAGCCUCAAGGGCGCCAUAUCAUAGGAGCCCAAACUAUGUGAUUGAAUAAAUCCUCCUCUAUUUGUUGCAGGUCGAGUACUCCUUCUUCUUCCCUUUCUUCAAACUCCAAUUCGUAUUUUUCAUAAAGAUUUCUCCGAUCGACGAUAGAACAUCCCAACAAAUUGAAAAUAAAUUAAAAAAUAUUUAUACUUAAAUAACAUUAAAAUAGUUGUAAUUUAGCAAGUAAAUACCUCUAAAAUAUUAACAAAAUUAACAAUAAAACAAGAGUUACACAAUAUCCAAACAAUAACAACAAAAUAGUAACAAUAUAAUAACGAAAUGACAGCAAAACAACAAUAAAAAAAAAAGUUUAGACUGAUCCAAACUUGGGCCAAAACAAUCUUACCUGAAGCCCAACCCAUUUAGAAAAUAAACAUUUUUUUAUUCAAACUCAUUUUUAAAUUUAUAUUUUUUUCCAAACUCUCUUCCACCCGUAAUUAGGUUUAACAAUGAUAUAUAUAAUGACUAAUUUAAGGUUGUCGUAAUUACACCAUUUGACAAAUGUAGGGAGAAAAAAGACACAUCAUAUUAUCCAAAUUAAAAUUUUAACAAUAAAAUUGUUUUAUUUAUUUAAAUAAAUAUUAGUAUACAUGUUGGUAUAAAAAUAAAUUUAAAUAUUUUUAUUAUUUUAUUAUUCUUUAAAUAGUCAUAUGGGAUAAUUUGAGUCUAUUCGACACUUAUUGGAAUAGAUUUAAAAUUCGAAAAUUUUAAGAUAAUGACUUGAGCAUAUCUAUGUAUGACCAAAACAAAUAUAGAAAAUUAUAACAUGAAAAAUAAUAUAACUUAGAUACACAUAUAAGAAUGUUUCAAAACUUAUUUUUAUGUACAAUUAUAAAUAUUAAAGUUGCAUUUGUUUUAUUGAAAGCAACUUUCAGAAAACGAUUUUUGAAAAAUUGAUUGAUUUUUUUAAAAAAGCUAAUAUUUUAUUGUGUUUGAACAUUUCUGUGUAAAAUAUUUUUCGUUAUUUGACAAAUUUUCCUGAGAGUUUGUCUUAAUAAACAAAUGCAACAUAAAUAUAUUUGUUACAAAUUAUUAUUGUAACAUUUCUCUUAGAUCGUCAAAAUUAUUUUUUAAUAAUAAAAUGUUUUAUAAUAAUUAAUAUAUUAUAUAAACUUAAUAAUAAACAAUGCCUAAUUAAAAUUUAAUUUAAAUUAUAUAUUACAUAUAUGAGAGUGAAUAGUGGCAUGUUAGAGCUAGAAGGGAUAAACGAAGUUAAACAUGACCUAAACAAAUACUAAUAUUUAUAUAAUUAAAAAUUCAUAUUUUAUAGUAUAAAUAUUUAUUAUUAAAUAUUUAUAAUUAGUAAUGUAUAUUUAUUAUGAAAAAAUAUAAUAUUAAAUAAUUUAUCAAAAAUAAUUAAUUAUAUUAAUAAUUUAUUUUAUUAUUAAAUAUAAAAAAUUAAAUAUGUAUUUUAAUAUUAUUUAAUAUUAUAAUAUUUUGUAUUAAUAAUUUAAAAAUUAAAAUUAAAAUUUAUUAUUAAUAUAAUUGAAUCAGCCUUGAUUCAAAUUUAUUUUUAUAUAAAAAUAAAAAUAUUCCAUUCUAGAAAAUUACUUACAUUUUUUAAAAUGAUAAGUUAAUUUAUAAAAAAAUAGCUUAAUUUUUAUUGACUUAUAAACCAUUUUUCAUUAAUCAAAUGUUUUCCAUUAAACAAAUGAAGGAAAAUGUAGAAAACAUUUUAUUUUACGUAAAACAAAUGCCCACGAUGUAGAUGAAAAUUUUUAUGUAAAAAUUAUAUUUUUAAAAUUUUUAUAUAAAAAUCAAGUGAAACAUUAAUUGAAAUGGUAAUACGAUAAUCUAGGUGUCAUAAUGUCUUCGGUUCAAGUAAAAAUGUCCAUAAGAUAGAUCAGAUUGAGACUUGAUUUGUUCACAAAAUUUUAAGCCUCAAUUAGAGUUGGCUUGUCUAAAAACUUCAUAUUAUUAUUUAAAAAAAAUAAAAUAUAUUUUAUAUUAAAACAUUUUAUGAAACAUUUUUAUAUAAAUUUAGGUUGACAAUGAGCAAAAUCUUUUUAUUCAAACUUAAUCCAAAUUAGAUGAAUUGAACUAAUUCAACCAUAAAUAAUUCUAAUGUUCAAAAUUCAUCAUCAUUCAUGAAUUUUUAAGUCAACUUAAUCAAGUCGACUGAAUCUUAUCUUGAUUGGCAUGAGUGUUGUUGUCAAAUGCAGGAGAAUAUAAGUUCAAGUGUGCUCAAGCACAUUUAUGAGUUGGGAGGGACUAUGGGUUAUUCUAGACAUUAUGUCAAAAAGAAUAAAUAUGAUCGAAACUUAUAAUGAAUUUGUUGAACAAAUAAUUUAUCUAAAACACGAUUAUAAUGCAACAAAAUGUAAUUACACACGAGCACUCAAAUUAAUGGGUUUAUAUAUAUAAGUGUUGCUAUAAGCCAAUAUUUAAAGGGUUGAAGUUUGGUUAAAUUCUGCAAUUAAUAUUUAUAUUUUAUGAAAAUUGUGAAAUAAUUUUUUUAUUUUAACUUGAUUAAUUUUAGUUUUUGUAUGUUCUGGAUUUUGAAAUUUUAGUUUUGACCUAAAUAGUAGUAGUUAAUUUCGUUUCGUUAAAUUUAAUUAUUAGUUCUAUACAAUGCGUACAAUUGUAGAUUUAGUCUACAUUCUCCAAUUUGAUCAUUUUAAGUCCAUAUACUUUUCUAAUUUUAAAAUUUUAGUUUUGACAUAAAAUUAACAUUCGUUAAUUCAUUAAUUGGAUAUUUGGUGAGUAAGAUGUGGAAAUAACAAGUUGACAUAACAUUACACAUAUAAUAAUAUGUUUGUCACAUAAUAUUUUAGAAAUAGCACGACUUAUUGAAUUUAACAUUUAUCGUUUGGUAAUGUCUAGAAUUUUAAAAUUUGAAAAGUAAAUAAACUAAAAAUGACCAAAGUAAAAUACAAUAAUUAAUUUCAUAAAUUUUAUAAAGAAUAGGGUCUAAUAACGUAAUUUAACCUUAAAUUUCAACUUUUUUUUAAUCAAUUAUCGACCAUUUUAACCGAUUCGCUACACUCAUUUCAAUUUAUAAGGAUGAACUGUUGUAUCAACUUUUUUAGUUCUGCCUAUUUAACCAACCGAUCAUAUCUAAUUUUUUAUAGGUUAAUAUGCCAAAAAGGGUAAAUAUAUUUUGGUAACUGAACUUGGCUUCAAAGUUCAAUUUGAUACUUAAGAUUUCUUUUCAUUAGAUAUCUAAACUUGGCCUCAAGGUUCAAUUUGGUAUUUAACUUAAACUUGGCUUUUUAUUUAAAUUUACCUGAACUUGGCUUCAUAUUAAGUUCAGGUGCCAAUUUGAACUAAGAAGCCAAGUUCACAUGCUUAAUUGGACCAAAAUAAACUUUAGGUACCAAAUUAAAUAUUGAAGCCAAAUUCAAAUACUUAAUUGGACAAAAAAAAACCUUAGAUACCAUUUUGAACCUUAAAACUAAAUUCAGAUACCAAAAUAUAUAUUUACUCAAAAAGACUAUUAAAUUAGUGUGAUUUGUUUAAGUAAAGCUCUUAUACAUACUAGAGUAUUAGCCUUUCUCCAAAAGUUUUAAUGAAGAAAAAUAAAAACAAAUUUAAAAGGCUUAUUGAAUUAAAGAAAAUGGACUUGAAUAGAAUGAACUAGUUUAAGGGCAUUUUUAUAAUAUUACCCAUUUUUAAUCACUGAACAAAAUUAUAAUCAAUGUUGAUUUCGAAGUUCCAAUCCCAAGACGUUAUCUUGAAAAUCCCAAAGUCUAAAUUGUUCUAAUAUUUGGUAUUACCUUAAAAAAAAUUAUAUAUAAAUUAUUGGACCAACGUAUAAGAUUUUUCAAAGCAACACAAUAUUGACCAUGAUUUGGAUAUUUCAUAAGCUAAAAAUUUAUUUAACAAUUAAUUUAAGACGCCAAUAUUUAAUACAUUUAUUGAAUUUAAAAUAUAUUAAUUAUGCGUAGAUUAAACAUUGAUUAGGUCCCUAUCCUUUCCCCUCCCUCUAAUACUCAAAAAGUCAAAAUCUAAUUUUUGUAUUGUAUUCAUAUAUUUAUUAAUAUAAGAGUUAAUUGCAUCACACGUCCCUAAAUUGUAAUAUUUAUUUUAAAUUAGUUCUCAAUUUUUAAAAUAUUCUAUCAAUAAGAUCCUUCCAUUACUAAAAUCAUUAAUUUAGUGGUUAAAUAAUAUGUCAAAUCUUAUAUAGUAUAGCUUGAAAUGAAUAAUUUAAUAAAAAAAUGAAUUUUGUAAAAAUGGAUGAUAUAAAAAUAUUACUUUUGAGAUUUUCAAAGCUUUUACAAAAGCUUUCUAGCUCACUUUCUCUUUUAUCGAUUUUAUUUUAUUUUUAGUUUUCACUUUUAAAGUUAUACAAUAUGUUUACUUUUCUUUAAUUUUUUAUUUUAAAUCAUGUCAUAUAAGGUUUGACAUGUCAUUAGCGGUUAAAUUAACAGUUUUAUUAAUUGAAAGACUUGAUUAAUAUAACCACUGAUAGUUUGAGGAUUUCACUAGAACGUUUUAAAGUUUAUGGGUCAAUUUAAAACUAGGGUUAUAGUUUGAGGAUGUUUGAUGCUAUUAACUCUUAAUAUAAUAAUUCUUUUGAUAAUUGAGCGAGGAGAAUGGGGUUAGUUGGGAUUAAACUCAAACUUUUAUACUUACAACAUUAUGUUCUCAUCAUUGGAUUAAGAGAUUGUUGGCAAUUAUUAAUAUAGUAAAUUUAUUUAAAAUAUCGCGUGUUCAUAUAAUUUUGACUAAAUUAUAUGAAAAAAAAAUUAUUAGCCAAAUAAGUUGGUUUUUUGAAAUUUUUAAAAAAUAUGUAAUAUUUUGAGAGAGUGUGUGAAAGUAUGUUCAACUGGGCCCAUUUUUCCGUUGACAUAUCAGGAAAGCUCCCCCAUCCAAGCACUUCUAGUUGAGUGUGCUUUCACAUAUUAUCUUAAAAAACAGCCAAUUUCUCUUAAAAAAACAACCUAUUUAGUUUUUUUUUUCAUAUAUGGUCAAUUUAGCCCAUAAUUUUGUAUAACUUAAUAAUUUAUAUUAUAUAAAGUAGAGGCAAAUUUAGGGGGUUGGCAAGGGCCUGCCCCCUAAAAUGUAAAAUUUUUAUUUAAACCCUUAAAAUUUUAAAAAAAUUUAAAUUAGUAAAAGUAAAAUUACUUUUUGGCCCCCUAAAAUUAUAAAAAUUUAAUUUAAUCCUUAAAAAUUAUAAAAAUAUAGACUAUAAAAAUUUAAAUUUUCAUUCGACUCCCUAAAAAUUUGUUCUGGUUUUGCGUCUGAUAUAAAGUUUAAUUUUUUUGGUCUCUUUAUAUUAGUUUUAAUAAUUUUUUUUGCAUUGUGAACAAUAUAAAAGAGUAAUGAUCAAGUGUUUAUUGGCAUCUCGAUUUAAACACUGUCAUUGUCAACCUCUUGUCAUUAGUAAAUUAUACAAAAAAUAAUUUGUUUACGUUGUUGCUACCAUGUCCACUAUUAUCAGCUCUUGCGAAAAAUGGCAACUUAUAUUUAAUUUAAAAAACACUAUAUUAAUAAUUAAAUAUAAAAUAAUAAUAAUGUAACUGGUUUUAACUGACUAAUUUGAAUCACAUGAAAUUAAACGUUGUUUUUUUAAUUAUUUUUUUAAAGGGUGCAAACAUUGAAUUAUGUUCAAAACUGACUUGGACUGUGGACUUAUUUCAGUGAUAUCAUGGGUUGAUUUUUUUUUCCCUCCAAAUAUUAAUAUUAAAAAAAUAGUAAAAUUUUCAUUCAUUUCCCAAGGGAUUUUCAAACACGUGCAUUAAAAAGCAACAAAAAAAUAAAGGAAAAAAAUAAAUCUGAAAAGUAUACAUAAAUAUAGGUUUAAUACGUAAUAUUAGAUAUUAAUUUUAUUUUGGUGUAAUUAUAUAUAUAAUUUUGAUUUUGAUUUAAUUUUUGUAUUUAUUAACACCGUUAUUUAUGUGGCGUUAUUUUUCUUUUAUGUUAUAUGGAAAUUUUUAAUAUGACAUUUUAUUAAAUUAAAACGCAAAUGAAUAAAUUUAAACUAUAUUUUCAUGUAGAUUUUAAAUAUGCAUUUUUUUAAUCUUGAAAAUACAUGUUUAUUACUAUGAAAAUGGAAAAUAAUUUAAAUUUAUAUGAAAAAUAAUUAAAAUUAUUUUUAGAAACAAAAACAACAUAAUUUAAAUUUACAUGGAAGCAUUAAAAUUUAUUAUUUCAUUUUUUAGCUUAAUAAAGUUAAUAAUCGAUUUUCACAUAAUUUACAAGAAAAAUCGUGUCGCAUAGAAUAAGUUGUUAGUGUUAUGUGAAACUAAAUAAAAAAAAAACUAAAAUCUUAUGUUUAGAAUAUCAAAUUUAAGUUCGUAUAUAAUAUUAUACAUUAAAUUAAAAUUCAUUUAUAAUUUUAUAUUAAUUCUAUAAAAAGUAAAUUACUGACCAAGUGGUUUGGAAUCUUCAUAAGUAUAUAAUAAUUAUUUUAAAAAGCAUCUCAUCUCAAAAUUUAAAAAAAUUAGUUCUAACUUUUAGUAAAAUAAAAAUAAUAAAAUUUAAUUAAGAUGUUAUUUUAAUAAAAUGUUUAAAUUUUAUAAAAUAUUUAAAAAUUAUUAAAUGAAAAUAAAUUUUAAUAAAAUAGAAUCACAUUAAUAAAUUUUACUAAAAAUAAGAUUCAAUUUCAUUAAUUAAUAUUAUUGAUUUAAUAUAAUACUUAGUUUUAAUUUUCUUUAAAAAAUUCAAAUAUAAUAUUAAUCUCGACCGCUAUUAUAGGUGUCACGUAUUUGAUAUAAGUAUGUAACAAUUAUCUUUCAAUUACAUCAAAAUUUUGACAGGUAAAUGGACUCUUAUAGAGUGGUUGAUUGUAUAAAACAUUGUUUGGGGUCCGGUCAUUUUCCCAUGAUUUUUGGAGCCAAACUAGUUAGACUAGAAAUUGGUCGGGAUAUCGAUUCGAAAUAAGAGAUUGAGUCAAUUGACCCGUGAAUUAGUAUGGACAAAUUAAAUUGAAUUUUUUGAAUUUUAUAAAAUUUUAAUCGAAUAAAUCAAAUUUAUCAAAUUGAUAAAUUAAUGGCUUGACUAAACCCACCACGAAUUUAUUUUAAAAAACGUUGCCUUUCCCAUCGUCCUAUAUUCAAGAUCUAAUAUUUCAUGUAUUUGUAAUAUGUAGAUGAAUUUUUUCGUACGAUAAUUAUAUUUAAAAUAUUUUAUAUUUAUAUUAUAUGAAAUUUAACAUUUUCAUAUAUUUGUAUCACGUUUUAAUAAUUUUUUCAAGUUGUUUCAUAUGACCAAUACUAUUAUCUUCGAUAAAAGAAAAAAAUGAGGAUUUUUUUAAUUUAUUAAUUAAAUAUAAAAAUAAUAAUUUUUAAAUAAAAAAUAAUAAUAAUUAAAACGUUUUUAAGUGACUAAAUUGAAUCGUAUGAAAUAAAACGUUGAUUUUUAUUAUAUAAUUUUUGGGGGUAGGUGGCUGUUAUGAACAUGCCAACAUUGAAUCAUGUUUAAAAUUGGACUUGACUGUGGAAUGUGGACUUAUUUUAGUGAUAUCAUGGGUUGGGUUUUUUCCCCUCAAAAUACUAAUAUUAAUAUUUUUAGAAACUUGUUCUUUUAUCUCUCAAUGGACUUUCAAGCACGUGCAUUACAGAUGCAAUAAGAAUUUGGUAAAAAUCAUCUCCAGUCCCUCUUAAUUUUGAUAUUAAGCAUAUUGGUCACUUUCAAAAAAAUUAAAGCAAAUUAAUUAUUGUUGAUUUCGAAAGUGAACAAUUGAUCACAACAUUAAUAUUUUUCGUCAAUUAUACAUGAUUUUAAUUGGUAUAAUAACAAAUUAAGCCAUUAAUAAUUUCAUAUUUUAUCAAUUUGAUCUUAGUUAUAAAAAAUUAUCUAAAAAGUUUAAAAUUUUCAAAAAAAUAAAUAACUUUGAAUAUAUAUACUAACAAAUAAUAUGUGUAAAUUUUGAGGGCUAAAAUUGUUAUUAUACCAAUUAAAAUUUUGUACAAUUGACUAAAAACAUUAUUGAUGUAUUAAUUGUUCUUAGUUACUCACUUUUGAAAUUGAUGGUGGCUAAAUUGCUUUGAUUUUUUUAGAAGGAGCAAUUUGCUUAAUAUUGAAAUUAAGAGUAACCAAAGAGGACCUUUUUACCAAAAAAAUUUGUUAAAUAUGCUUCAAGUUUACGUACUCUUCUUACAUUUAGAAUUUAAUUUAGUCUAUUAAAUUAUUAAAUUUUUUGAUUAAAUUGAAGUUCAUUAUAAUGUAAUAUUUUUAUUACAUAACUACUAGAUGAGUGCUUUUUUUUUUAAAUAUCACAUUAGUGGAUUUAACAAAAGAAAUUUAACGAUGUUAACGAUCAGACUUGAAUUUUGAAAUCUAAAAACACAGAUAUUGAAAUCCUGAAAAAAAAAGGGUUAAAUUCUGAAUACGUAAAGAGUAUAGGGGUUUAGUGAAUAUUCUAUUUUAUUUUUUAAUUUUAGUAUUUACAAUGUUAGAAAUCCUACAGAAUACUUUUCUUUUUUGGUAAAAAAUCCUAUAGAAUAUUAAAACUCAAUGUUAACCAGUUUUAUACGUAAAAAAGUAAAUUUUUAUUUAAUAUCUUAUUUUUUUCUUAAAUUUAAGAAAAUAACAUAAAAAGAUACACAAAAUCAUAAAUUUACCUCUAAAAAUUUUACAAUUGUUUUGAAAAUAAAACAAGAAUUAUUCAACUUUUUUGUAUCAUUUUUCCUUAACAAUAAUCCAUGGAAUUAUUGAAGAGAAUUUCUAGAAUUUAUAGGACAAACUUUGGUAAUAAUGGUAAUUUUUAAUCCAAUCUUUGCAAAAUUCAUGGAAAAAAAAACCAUUUUUACUUUCUUUAUUUGUAGUUUUUUUUUCCUGGUUUCGAUUUGUCCCACUAACUAAUUAUUUUUCUUCAAAUACUGAAAAAAAAAUUAUAUUUCCGUUCCAUUUCAAGAAAAUACUUCGUAAAUACUAGAGUUUUAAGCUUUGAUAAAAAAUAUUUAAAAUAUUUAUUUUUUAGAAAGUAGUUUUUAUUUAAAUUUCUAAAUAAAGAGCGAGAUGAAUACACUAUUUUAAAAAAUAAAAAUAAAAACACCUUUGUUAAUAGUUUUUGGGUAAACUGCCUAGCUGAUCACCCAAGUUUUAGGGUAUUUUCAUUUUAGUCAUAAAACGUUAAAUCUCUAAUUGCAGUAAACUAUACAUGCCAUAUCAUCUCUAUGCUUUCAUUUUGAUCAACCCUGGACCCUAAACUCAAAAAAUAUUUUUUAAAGUAUUGAUUGGGGUAAAAGAAUAAGGAUUAAAGUGAAAAGUGGUAGAAACUAAAAUAGUAAACAAAUUUUGUCAAAUUGUAUUUGUUUAGUUGUUUAUCCAUUUUAGUCCUUGAACUUGAAUUCUGUCAAGGUUUGGUGAUGUGAUCUGUGUUAUUGGAACAUAACUAGAAUGACUGGAUUGAGAAUUGAUUGAUAUAAUGAUCUGAACAAAAGGGUUGAACUUAUUAACUCAUAAAUUGCUUGAAAUUCGAAAAGCAGGAUAAAGAUCAAUAGUUCAACAGAUGGGAUGUUAAAUAAAUUUUUUAAUAAAAUUUUAAUUAUUGUUCGUUUGACAAUUGAACUGGCCGAAUCAGGAACUGGUGGUCUGACUUAUUCAAUCACCGAUCUGGUUAUUAAAACACUAAAUCUGACAUAUUGAAAUUAUACCACAUUAUCAACUGAAAAUUUAUAUGAUUUUUAAGUGAUGAUGUGCCAAUCAUCAAACUUUUACAUUUUUUCAAGUUAAAGGAUCAAAUGUACCUAGUUGUCAAGUUGUCAAGUUAAAGUGUCAAAGUAGAUAAAAAAAGUACAGGUAUCAAAAUGAAUCUACUUGCCAAGUUCAGGGGCCAAAAAUUAUAUUAUCCCAUUAUUAAUACAAAGAAGAAAUAUCCCAAAACGGAAAGUUGAGAAUCACGCGCAAGCUAGUCGAGUGGGCAUGGCAUCAAUCUUUAAGUGAUAAAAAAAAUUGGGAAUAGAACAAACUAACCAAAUAAGAACAGGAAUUUAGGUUGAUUUAAAUGGCGCGUAAAGUCCCAUUUCUUUUUAACUCAGUUUUCUCCGCCCCCACCAAAUCCAGCUUCCUCUGACGGCGGCGUUAUUUAAACGCCCUCCUCGUCUUAAGCCCACUGCGUCGACUAGAUCCUUCGUUUCAUUCUCACUCACGGAUCCAACCUUCGACACCAAUUUUGCUCCCAAAUUGUAACUCAAAUCAUCAACUAAAAAAUUCAAAUUUAACAUUUUUUUAAUUUUAAAAAAUGGAGGUAACUGCCAGAGCUCCAGGGAAGAUCAUUCUCGCCGGUGAACAUGCUGUGGUUCAUGGAUAUACUGCCGUUGCUUCCUCCAUUGAUCUCUACACUGUUGUCUCUCUUCGUCUUCGUUCUGGUAUCUUUCUGUUUCUCUUCUUCCAUUCAUUUAAUUGUUAUGUAUUUUUUUUAAAAUGGUGAUUUUCGGGUUGAAUUUUAUGAAAUGAAAGUUAUUUUGAGUUGGGUUGUUCUUAGAUUGUGUAAAAUGUUUUGGUAGUUUCCUUGUUUAGCCUAUAUGGAGUUAUAUUCCAGUUUUCCAAGCCUUUUUUUUUGUAUGAAUUUGUUGCUCAAAUUUUUUGUUUUUGGUGUUUUAUAGGUUGGAAUUUGAUGUUAUUUUAAAUUUUUUUUGAUUGGGUUAGCCGUUAUUUGGAAGAUUAUGUAGGUUCAGCAAAAUUUUGAAGUCAUCAGCAUUAUUUGCCUUUCUUGAAGUUUUGUUUGCUUCAAGUAUUUUUUAGUUCUUAUAUUUUGAGCAAACUAUGUUGGAACAAAGUUUCUGAGAUUGAGAUGUGAUUAUGGUCUGCUUUUAAUGAGGAAAAAGAGAUUCAUUUUUGUAGAUAUUGGUUUUUAUCUUUUGAACAAUCUAAGUAUCUCGAGACAAGGUUUCCGAGAUUGAACUCAUUAUGAGGAUCCUAUAAAUUGGAUUUAAUGAUUUGUUUUGGGGAAUCGAUCGUGCGAAGAUAUGUUUGUCUUUUUGUGAAUUUUGCUUUGGAUGUGUUUGUUGGCCAUUUUUAUCUUUCAACAAAACUAAAUAUUCAGGAAAAGUGAUUCUGAGAUCGCUUUGAUUAUAUUUUGCUUUUAAUGAGUUACGGAUUUUUGAUGGUUUUUUUUUGGAAGACAAUCGUGCAAAGGUAUGUUUGAUUUUUGCAUAUGUUGCUUUGAAAGGUGUGUUUGUUGGUGCUUAUCUAUGAAUCGACCAAGUAUUUGUGAACAAAGUUUCGGUGAUCGAGCUGAUUAUAGUUUUCUUUUAAUAACGAUCCAUUAAAUCAGAUUUGGUGGUUUGUUUUCUGCUAAUGUUUCUUUGGAUGUGUUUACUGACUCUUAUCUUUUGAGAAAACUAAGUAUGUGGAAAUGAUGUUUCCAAGAUUGAGCUGAUCUAACACACCGGAUUUGAUAAAUUUCAAAGUGUGCUGUUUAUUUUAUGGGGCGUGUCAAGCUUGUGGGAAACAGACAAUCUUUGUGAACUUUCUAGUUUGAUAAGUGCUUAUAGUUGGCUGCUAACUUACUCAUUUGCAUGAACUAAUCUGCAAAUGGUCCCCUCUUGCCUUUUCCGGUAUUUACUAAUAAUAUUAAUGUGUUUUUGGUAAAUGUUGCUAGGAGUUUAAAAACCAUAAGUUCCAGUGCAUGAGUAGAACUAAAAAACAUUCUCAUUUACGAUAUUUCCUUCUUUGAUCACCUACAAUCAAACUAUAAGUCAAUAAUGACACGCUGUCAAGCUUUGAUCGAAGUAUCCUCUCUUGAAUUUUUGUAAGUUGAAAUUUGAUUUUGUCAUAACAAUUCUUGGUCAAUUGAUUCAUUUUGGUUUCUUAUUUGUAUAAUCUUUGGCACUUUGAUAAGGUCCGUAACAUUGUCUUGCAAUCUAAUAUUUGUAUCUUUGUUUCAUUUUGUUAUAUUUGUUUUUUUCCAUAGAAGACGAAGAUACAGUAAAACUUAAGCUCAAUGACAUUGGAUUAGACUUUUCAUGGUCAGUCGGAAGAAUCAAGGAAGUGCUAUCUCACUUAGGUUCUCCAUUUUCUUCGACACCCACAUCAUGCUCAUUGGAGACCAUUAAAUCUCUCGCCACUCUUGUUGAUGAGCAAAGUUUCCCCGAGACAAAGAUUGGACUUGCUUCUGGGGUUUAUGCGUUUCUUUGGUUGUACACCUCUAUAUUAGGGUAUGUAUCCAGUUAUGGCUUUUUAUUUUAACUCAAAUUUUCUUCUUGAUGAUCUAGUUUCUGACAUAUUGACUCAAUGAGCCAGGUUUAAGCCGGCUACAGUCACCGUUUCUUCUGAACUUCCUGUGGGUGCCGGUCUGGGUUCAUCGGCUGCAUAUUGUGUUUCACUCUCAGCAGCUCUAUUAGCUCUUUCAGAUUCCGUGAAAUUGGACGUAAGCCAAAAAGGAUGGUCUACGUUUAAGGAGACUGAGGCUGAAUUGGUGAAUAAGUGGGCUUUCGAAGGGGAGAAGAUAAUUCACGGAAGACCCUCUGGAGUUGACAACUCAGUUAGCACAUUUGGUAUCCAACUUGUUUAAAAAAACUCACUAAAUACUUUUUCUGCCUUCAAAUUCUUUUAACAAUUAAUUUGUGGUCCCUCUAUCAUAUGCAUCACUAUCCUGGACCAACUACGAUCAGAACAAAUUUUAAUUUUAGACCAAAUUUGGUAACAUCGGUAAUCUAAAAGGAAAGGUUGGAUAGAGUGAAGACCGAUUUAUAGUAGCCUAAGCAAGUUGUGCUAUAUUACCUCAUAAAUGCAUGAUAUGUUUAUCAAUAUCUAUGUGAUUUAAGUAAUUUAUGGUUUCCAUGGAACAGGAAAUGUGAUCAAAUUCAAAUCUGGUGUUAUGACCCGCGUCGAUUCCAAUAUGCCACUGAAAAUGCUCAUUACCAACACAAAAGUCGGGAGGGAUACAAAGGCUUUGGUUGCUAAUGUUUCGGCAAGGAAAUCAAGGCAUCCUGAUGCCAUGUGUUCCGUGUUAAAUGCUAUUGAAGCCAUCAGUGAUGAAUGGUCUACCAUCAUCCAGUCGCAUGCUGUGGAUGAUCUAUAUUUAUCUGCCAAUGAAGAGAAGCUCGGAGAAUUAAUGGAAAUGAAUCAGGGUUUGCUCCUCUCUAUAGGUGUUAGCCAUGCAUCGAUAGAAAAUGUUCUUCAGACAUCAAUGAAGUAUAAGCUAGCUUCCAAGCUGACCGGAGCUGGUGGCGGAGGUUGCGUGCUAACACUCUUGCCAACCCGUAUCCUCUUUACUGUUCUUUUAAAUUUGUUUAUUUAUGCCUCUGCCAAUUCUUUCAUUACUUAUGACUGAAGGUUUUGAUGAGAUAAACGAGUUUGAAUUCGUUGCAAUAAAAUGCUUUCCCUUGCGUCUCUCUGCCCGUAGAAAUGAACAUUUUGAUCUUGUUCCCCACGUAAAGGGGCAGAGGCUAGGAUAGGGUUUGACAAGAAACUACUUCUCAGAUAUUGACUUUGAUCCGUUUUUGUUUAUAGUUUCAUCAGUAGUUUGCUGCUUUCUGUCACUUGUUCCCUUGAUGACAUGAAUCAGAUAUAUCAGGAGAAGUCAUCAAUAAGCUAGUGGAAGAGCUCGGAUCAUUCGGUUUCCAGUGUUUCUCAGCCGGAAUUGGUGGUAAAGGUGUUCAAAUUUCCUUUGAUCAUUCUUCCUAAUUUUCCGUCCCCAUAUUUUAGUCGUAAUAAGACUCUCUUCGAAUAACAACAUGAAGCACAUUAUAUCGAUGUUAUAGUUAUUUCCCUUCCCUUUCGUUUUCUGUACACUUCACUUUCGGAUUAGCCGUUUUCUAGUUAAACCAGAACGAAGAAAAACUACUGCUACAGAAAACAAUGUUGUAGCUGUUUCUAUUCUCCUUUGUACAUUAGUUUACUGCAUCAGUUUGUGUUGUCUUUGCUGUUGAAAGUUAAAAAGUCAAUGAGGUUUUAACUUUUAGCCAUUAUAACAUCAAUGCUUUUCUAUACAUUUUUUUUUUCUUUAGAUGUAGGAAAGUUUGUUGGAUGUUAUGGUUGAAGAGUUAUGUUACUUGGAUACGAGUGUGAGUGGGCGUGGAUAGAGUUGAUAGUCGGUCUGGCAUUUGUAUAUUUUAUAAUAUUAAAAAAUAAAUCAGAAUAUGUUUAGAUAACGAAUGUAAUUAGUGGAUUCCAUUCAAUUGAGUGUAAUUGAAGCACUUCAAAUACACUUUCUAAGUAAGAUUUGGGAUAGAGUGUCUUUCGAUAUUACAGAGUAAUUAGAUGAAAAUGUAAUUAUUAAUGUAGUAAUUGCACCAUGUUAUAAUUAUAAUAUAUGUGUGAUUAAUAGAGUGUAAUUACAUUGUAAUUCUUUAUGUUAUGUUUGACUGUAUAAGUUGGAUUUACACACUUAUAUAAAUUUAAAUUCCCAAAAAAAUUAAAUAUUAUAAAAAUUAUCAAUAAUAUUAAAAAAAAAAGUCUAAACAAGCAACAAAACUUAAAAGUAAAAUUAUUAUAAAUAACAUCUUAGUCCAAGAAAGUAUAUGAAAAUAUGAGUACUGAAAAAAAAAUUCUAUACAAUUUUAUCUGUAUAUUCUAGUAUUUCGUACUUGUUAGAUUGUUUUUUGACGUUAAAUAUAUACUCUUUGUUAUUAUCAAAUGAUAGUUUACCAAGUAUAAGUAAUUAAUAAUAAAUAUUUUUUAAUAAAACUAUAAUUUAUAUUAAUAAUUAUAAUCUGCAUGAAAGCACGAGUUUAGAUAAGCUUUUGAAUCGACGUGAAUAUUCUCGCCAUUUUUUAUAUUACUAAAUUGGUAUUUUAUAAAAUAUAAUUAUUAUUAUUAUUUUUAAAUAAUAAAAUUUUUAUUCAACUAUAUAAACGAGAUAAAGUUGAAAUUAAAGUAUUAAGAAUAAUUUACAUUAAUUAAUUAUUAAUAAUAGAUAAAAUUAAUAAAUUCUGAAAUUUUUUUAAAAAGUUUUACUUAAAAAAUAUAAUAAAAUAUUAGUUAAUAAAAAAUCAAAUUUAUAAAAUCAUCAAAUAUUUUUAGAUAAAUUAAAAAAAUAAAAAUAUUAUUAUAAAAUAAAGAGAGAUGGGUAGAAUAAAUAACAAAUAAAAUAUGAAAGCAAUAGAGAAUUUACUUUAUUGAUCAAAAGGGACCAUUACAAUACUUCAUCAGAGUCAGUAUUUAUUUAUAGGCAUAAGAAGUAUAAUAGAAGUAGAGAUCUAAUUCUAAUAACUAUUAGAAUUUAAAGUAUAUUCAAACUUUAUCUUGAUCAUGACGGACAUCCACUUAAUAAGAUAUUCAUAACAAAUAUAAUAUUUUUAUAAUUAAAAUUUUUAUUAAAUAAAUAUAAAUUUUAUCUAUAAAUAUUAUUUUAUUUUAAUAUAAUAAUUAAAUAAUUUUAAAUUAAUUUUCAUAAUUAAUAAAAAUUAAAUUCAUGAAAUUAGCAUUAUAUUUCGGAAAAAAAAAUAUAAUAUUAAUUUUCUUUUAACUUUUAAGCUAAUUUUGGAAAGUUUUGGGGAACUUUGAGAAAAGAAAUCAAUGGGUUUUUAACCAUGCAAAUCUUUAGAAGAGUUAUAACAAUUUUUUUAAGAAUUAAAGUGGUAGUUGAUUUGACUAAUAUGAUUAGUUUAAAAUAAAUGAAUAAUUAAAAUAUAAAAUUUAAUUCAAUUGGUUUUUUUGUUGAAUUCAAUUAAUCCAUAUUGAUUUGUGAAUGAUCUGACUUUUUUACAUUUCUUCGAAUAGAUACUUUAAUCAGUUCUCAAUUUACGUCGUCUGAUUUAGUUCAAACAAUAUUGAUUUUAAUAAGAUUAAUUUUUACUCCUUCUGUCCCAAUAAAAAUAUCGGAGUUAGCUUUUUUUAGUUAAUUUUUUUAAACUUUGACUUAUAAUAUUUUAAAUAUUUUAAUAAAUUAAAUUUUAUGAAUUACUUAAAAAUUACUUCAUUGAAAUUUUUCAAGUUAUAUUUUUUUCAAAAUUUUAUCAAAAUUAAUAAAAAGUCAAAGUUGAAAAGAUUUUCCUUCAAAAAGUCAAAAUGGGACAACUUUACUGGGCGGAGGUAAUAAUGUAAUUUGAUGAAUUUAGAAUUUAGUUUAAACGACAAUUAAUUAGGUUGGAUUUGAGAUUAAUAUAAAAAUUUUAAUUUAGUAAAUCUAGAUCGAUUACAUAAUAAGCUUGGGCUAAUAAAAGUGUUACAAAAUGGUGUAAUUUUAGGAUAGGCAUUGUAAUGUAAGGGUGCAAACUCAUUUUUCAAGCGUAAUUAUACUUUCGAAUGUAAAUUAAUAAGAUAGAUUUAAGUUUAUUCGUUUAGAAUUCUUUUAACUCUCAAAUUUAAAAUGAUUCGUGUUUAAUAUGUCAAGAUACUCGCUCGAUAUAUUAUAACAACUAUUAUUGAAAUUGAUGAGCGUUAAGACCUUAUGUCUAGAAGCAUUCUUGAGUGACUUGAAAAGCUUGGGGCGAUUGCGGUCCAACUAUAAUUGGUUAUCUCUGAUUUUCUUUAUUUGCAGAUUAAAGGGUCAAAAAAAUUAUAAGUGAAAAAUAACAAAAUUAAUUCAGUCUUUAUAAACAAAAGAAAAUACACUCAAUUUAGCCUCAAUGACCUAAAAUUCAAUUGACCCCUUCCAUAAAUUCAAACCAUCGAUUAAUCAAUUUGACUGUUAAUUGUGUUGAUGGAAGCUACCAGAAGCUACCACCACAUCAGCAAAAAUUAAAAAAAUAAAUUAAUAAAAAUGUGCAUGGAAUGAAUUUGAAUUAUUAAUAAUUUUUAAAUUUUUUUAAGUUUCACAUUCAUCUAGAAUGAAUUUGGAGAAAUGAUUGUCUAGGUUCAAAUGAAUUUGGACAACCAUUUAUCUAGAUUUUUUUUCAAAUGCACAUUAUUAUUAUUAUUAUUAUUAUUAUUAUUAUUAUUUUGCAAACAUGGCAUAUCACGUUAGCAUGCUGCCAUGUGGUCGUUUCUUGUGGCUUCUGUCAUCUAUGUUGGUGUGGCUACUGGUCAAAUCGGUUAAUUGACAAUGUCGAAACCAUUUUUUUGAAAACGGGGUCGACUUGGAUUUUGAAAAUGCAAACGAAAAAACGGGAGUCGACACCAAUCCUUUUUAAUGAGGUGUGAUCGGGUCACCUUGUAAAAGUGGUUGUUUUUAAUAAAUGAUUUGAUUUAUUUAAACAACGAUUUUGGUCCGCGAAAUUUAGAAAAACGGGUUCAGGAGUCGGUUACGUACAAGGAAGGAUUAGCACCCUCGUAACGCCCAAAAAUUGGUACCUAGUUGAUUAAUUACUGUCUUAGUAUCGAAAAUUAAAAACUUGGAAGACUUUAAAAUACAAUCCCUCUUUUUGUAAAAACACUCGAAUGUUAAUGACCUUUUCAUCUCAAAGUAAUAAAAUGUCACAUCCAGUAAGUUAGGACACGACAUCUCGAAAUUUUGAGAAUGAGCUUGCCUUUUAUUUUAAAUUCGUGUAUUUUAACCCCUUUUUAAAAGGAUAUUCGGUUAGUUAGGGUAAACGAGGAAAAUCGAAACCCAGUAAGUUAAGACACGUUUUCUCGAAUUUCCAAACACCGAAUAUUGCCUUUACCUGUGAAAAUUCUUAAAGUUAGGGCACAACACCUAGUAUUUCUGAGAAUAAACAUUUUUUUCAAAACUCGUAUUGCGAUUUAAAAGAAUAUUCCGUUAUUUAGGUUAAAUGAGAAAAAACGAAACCCAGUAAGUUAGGGCGCGAUUUUCUCGAAAUCCCAAAUACGGGAUAUCCUUUUUUAUGAAAAAGUCAUUUUCACCGGGUAAAGGUUAAUACAACAUAAGUUUAUAAUAAUAAGAUAAAUAAGUCAUAAACGAAUAUAAAUUUCGAUAUUGACAGGCAUGACAGAAGGAGCACAGAGGCGAAUGUGAAUGAUAACGAUGGUAAGAGUAUAAAUAAAAUAAAUGAGUAAAACGAAUAAAAGGGAAAUAAUGAAUAAGCUAAGAAAUAUUUGAAAUUAAAAAGAGUUAGUAGCAGAUAAAUAAAAAUUAUGUAAAACUAUUUAAAAAAAUGAUAGUAAAGUAAUAAUAAUGAUAAUAAUAUUAAUAGUAAUAACACAAGUAAUAAAUAUUUUAAAGUUUGGAAUGAUAUGAAAAUGUAUAUAUGUAUGUGUAUAUAUAAAUAAAUAACGUGUAAUGUGAGUGAUGAAUAAAAAUAAAAGAGUGUAUUUGAAGAGUAAUAGAUAAAAAUAGUAUAGUAAUGAUAAUAUGAUAGUAAUAAUAACAAUAUAGUAAUAGUAGUAGUAAUAGUGAUAGUAAUAAAAAUAAUAGUAAUAAAGAUAGUACUAAUAAUAAUAAUAAUAAUAAUUAAAAUAAUCAUAAUAUAAAAUUUGAAAAAGUAUAUAUAUAAAAAAUAUACAUAAGUAAAUAAAUAAUGAAAUACCAAUAAUAAUAAAAAUAAACAAACCAAAGAUUAAAAAAGAUAAUUAGAUAGAGAAACAUAUAAAACAAAAAAGGUUAAAAAUUGAAAAUAAAAUAAAACAAAUAAUAAAUGGUAAAACAUAAUAAUAAUAAUAUGAAUAAUAAUAACGAUAAUAAAUAAUAGCAAGAAUAAUAAUAGUAAUGAUAACAGAAGAUAAUAAUAGUACUAUAAUAAAUAAUAAUAAUAGAUUAAAUUAAUUAAUUUAAUUAAAAUAUUGAAAAUAACAAAAAAAUGACUAAAUUGAACCUAAAAUGAAAGUUCGGGGCCAAUUCGGAAUAAAACAAUAGUAAAAGGGCCAAUUUGAACGCACAAAUAAUAAGGAGGGACUAAAGGAGAAAAUAUCCCUUCCCUCCUAAACGCAGCGUUUUACACGUGACCAAAAUGAAUAAAAAACAAAAUUACCAGGCAAAAUUAAAAAUAACGAAAGACUUAAUCAUAAAAUUGUAAAAAAGCGGAAUGGCUAAAUGCACAAAUAGCCCCUUUUCCAAAAACACGCGGAUCCUAGGCGGGUCGGGUCGGAUUUGGGUCGGCCAAGGCAAAACGACGCCAUUUUGGGAUUUAAGGACCCAGGCCAAAACGACGUCGUUUUGGCCCUCUAUUUAAGCAAAUUUUCCUAAAAAAAAUUCAUUUCAACACCCAUUUUUUAAAAAAUGCUCACUUUUAGGCGAUUCAAAACAGGUACGGUCUCCCCCCUUUUUUAUGCAUUUUUUUUAUAUAUAUAUGUAAUCGAAAAUAAAAAGUAUAGUUUCGAUGAAAGAAAAUAAAAGGAAAAAAAAAUGGAACCUUGGCACGUUUGAGUUUGCUUUUUUCUUCAAUGCUUCUUGUGUUUUUCUUUUAAAAUUGUCUACUGCUUGUAUUUUUAAAAUUGCCGAAUCUACAAACUGAUUUUUGCUUGGCUUUUUAAAGCCAUUUUACAUGAUUUUUUAUUAUUAUCUGUCUCUUCUCUAUUUAAUUUGCAGGUGCAAGUAGAGGCAAACUUGGGCGGUGGUGAUGCGACCGUGGCGGUGGGGUAGGUGGUGCUGUAGGUGGUAACAGAGGGCAGUUGGCCAUAGGGGUGGCGGCUAGCUAGUUUUUUAGGGUUUUUUUUUUUGAUAAAUGUAAUGGGCUAGGGUUAGUGAUUUAAUUUUGGGUUUGUUGGGAUAGGUUGAAAUUGGGCCGAGUAAUUUGGGCCUUCUACAAACAAUUUUCAUUAAUGAAAGGACCCAAUUAAUGUUUUUCGGGCCAUUGAUGACUUAAUUGUGUGCACUUUUUUCAUAAGGUCUCAGUUGAUUUUCUGAUUUUUCAUAGAGGACUUUUUUUUUUUGCCUUUUUAGCCCAAUUAAAAUUACAUCGAAGUUUGCCUUUUGCAAUCUCAUCUUAUCUUUUUGAGUUAAUAUAUAUGGAGGUACCUAAUCUCUAUAACUCAUACCUACUUGGUAUUUAAACAUUUUUUUGGACCUAAUUGGUACCUAAACUUAAGAACCGUAAGUCAACUUGAUUUUUUUUAGGUACCAACACCGUUAAAAUAAACUAAUAUGGCAUUGGCGACCAAUAGUAUGGUGACAUGUGGUAACUUCACAUUUUAACUCAUGGCAAAAUAGAAGAUUAUAAUUUUUUAAUAAAAUUUAAACAUUUUUUCUUUUGUAACUUUUUGUCAUGUGCCAAAAUAUAAGGAUGCCACGUGUUACCAUACUAUUAGUCGUCAGAGCCAUGCUAACGUAUUUUAAUGGUGUUAGUCAAGUGAAUUAUAUUAUUAAUAAAUUAAAAUUAGAGUAAUAAUUUAUUAAUAUUAUCAUGUUGAUAAUAGUAAAAGUAAUAUUAAUUAAUAUAAUAGUUUAUUAUUGUGAAAUUAAUUAACUUGGUCAUAUAUCUUUAAAAAUUCUUCUUAAAAAAUAAUGUAAUAUAUUAUUAAUUAAAAUUAUAAAUCUAUAAAAUAAUUGAAUAAAUUAAAAAAUAAUAAAAAACCAAGUUUUAAUUAAAUAAAUAUAAUAUAUAUUAUUUUAUUUUAACUAUGAUAAUUAAUGAUGUUAAAAUCAUUUUUAUAAUUAAUAAAAAUUAAAUGUGUGAGAUUAGCAAAAAUAUAUAAAAAAGAUAAUAUUAAUAUAUUGGUAAUCUAACCUAUAAUGUAUGAAAUUAUUUAUUAACGUUCUCGUUGUUAAUUUAAUAAUUAUUAUCAUUUAAUUAGAUUUUGAAUCAAUAUUAAUUUAAAUUUAUUAUUUUAGAUUAAUUCUCACUUAAUUAGUAUUAUAGUUAUAUACAAAUUUAAGUUAAUAUUUACCACUGCAUUUUCGUUCAAAAUAAACAAAAUAAAAUCUAAAAAAUUAUUGAAAUUACCAUGAGUUAUCUCCCACUUUUUUUUCAUUACUUCUAAAAUAUUAUUUUAUUCUCUCAAUUAUUUUUCAAAAAUAAUAUAUUUUUAUUAUAAAUUAGACCAAUUUUUAUUUAAUUAUAAAAAUAUAUUUGUAAUAAUUAUAAAAAUAUAUUAUUUAAAAAAUAAACACAUAAAUAACGUGCAACACAUAUGACAUGGGAACUAGUAUAUAUAAAAGCAUGAUUUGAAAAAAAAAUUAUAUUGAUGAGAAUACAUUUUAUUUUCCAUCAUAUUACUAAAUUCACAUUUAAAAAAUAAAAAAAAUAGAAGUAAAAUAAAAGUUAUGAUAAUUAUGCAUUAAAAAUAAUUAUAAUUUAUUCGAAUUUAAAGUUGUGAGAAAUACACAUUUAAAAAUAAUUAUAAUUUAAUUUACAAUUAAUGGUUUAAAAUGUUAUGCUAAUUUGAAAGUAGAGGUAUUAAUUGAAUUGAAAUCUAAGCAUAAAAUAUAAGAAAAAGUUAAAUGUAAUUUUAGUAAAAAAAAUGGUGAAUAUAUUUUUAAGCCUCUUAAUUAUCACUUAAUUAAUAUUAGAAUAAAAUUUUGAUUAAAUAUUAAACCUGUAAAAUCACAUAUAAAAUAUGUGGCAUUAGAAGCUAGUAAUAAUCAAAAGCAUAUUUUUUUGGCUAUGAAAACAAAACCUAUUAAAAAUGCUGAAAUAUAUUUUUUAGAUACUAUUUGAAUGAAAAUGUAUUGUCAUACAUUUAUUUAUAGUAUUAAAUAUUAUUUUUUAAAUUAAUAUAUAAUUAUAAAUUGUAACAUUAAUCAAAUGAUAAUUAAUCAAAAACAAUAAACGUAUUUUAAUAUGAAUUUAAAGUUUAAUAAAGUGAUAAUAACUGUAACACUAAUAAUGAAAAUAUUAUUAUUCUAUAUUUAUAAUUUGUUAUCGAAAAUGAAUGUAAAACCUAUAUAUUAGUUUUAUAUUAAAUAUUAUGGUAGAAAUAUUAUUAAUAAAAUAUUAUUUUUAUUAUUUUUAUUUUAUAUUAAAUUUAUUGAUUUUAUAGAUAAAAAACAUAACUAACGCAAAAUAAUAAUUUUUAAUGAACUUUUUUUAUGUUAAUCUUUUAAAUAGAUAAAUAAUUUAUCUAAUUAAAUUUUCUUUUAACACAAAAUGCUAUGGGAAAGGAUUGUAUGAAAUAGUGACACCACAUCAUCGGUAUAUCUUUUCUAAUAGUUUAAAUGCCACAAUAACAUUUUCAUCUUGAAAAGAAUUAAAUUCAAAUAAAAAUCCUGAAAUUCAGAAUAAAAUUACUGAUGUGCCAUUAAACUAUUGAAAAAUGAUAAUAUCACUAUCUCAUACAAUCCUUUUUCCCAUAAACAAUAUAUAUAAACAGAACUCGAAUCUAACUGGCAUAAAUAUAAUUAACAAAUAUCAAUGUUGUAUUGAGAUAUAUAGAGAGAGAAAGAGAUGGUUGAAUAUAAAGCUUGUAUUAGAACAAUAUACAUGAACAUAAUUUGUAUGUUUAUUUAUUAUACAAGUUUAUAUUGGUAUUAUUGAAAAAAGAGAUUGAUCUUUAUUCUUUUACAUCUUUAAUAAAAGCACGGUACCACUUUGCAGAAUCCUUAGGUGAGCGAGUGAGAGUUUUGAAGUCAACAUGAUAAAGUCCAUAUCUGACCGUGUAACCUUCACCCCAUUCGAAAGAAUCAACUAAACUAUAAUAGAAAUAUCCUUUGACAUUCACACCAUUUUUUAUUGCAAUUUCGAGUUGACGCAAAUGUUUUUGAACAAAUUCAAUUCUGAUGCGAUCCGUUUGUGACUCGGAGAAUGGCAAGCUGAUGUUGCUUUUUUCCGUAUAACCAUUCUCAGUAAUAUAAAUCGCAAGGUUUUUGCUGUAGUUUUCUCGAAUAAACUCCAAAAGUUUAUAAAGCCCUUCAGGAUAAACGUAAAUAAACAUACUCCCUCCUGCAUUUGGACCGAUAAGGACUCCAUCUUUGUCAAUCGAGACAUUCACAUUUGGAUCUACCAAGUAGCUAACUGGUUCAUUUGGAUUAGGUGGAAUGUUUUUAGCAUAUCUUGAAGUAUAAUAAUUGAUUCCAAUGAAAUCAAAAGAUCCUUUAACAAGCUUCUUUUGUUCUGCAGUGAAAACAGGUAGCCUGUCUUUAACCAAACUUCUCAUGGUUUCUGGGUAUUCUCCAUGCGUUAAUGGUUCCAUAUACCAUCCCAACUCAAAAUCCAUGGCUCUUUUUGCCGCCUCUAUAUCAAGGGAUGUGUUUGUAUAUGGCUCACAGUAAUGAGAAUUAAGGGUUAUUCCAAUUUGUCCUCCUUGUGUUUCCUGGUACUUCUUUUUGUAAAGAUCAGCAGCUGUUGCAUGGGUAAGCAGAAGGUUAUGGGAAACAAUAUAAGGUUCAGUACCUGAAUUACCAUUGACACACAUUUUCCUGUCUGAACAUCUAACCGGUGGAGCCACUCCCAUGGCAUACCCCAUUUUAGCCAUAAUUAGUGGCUCAUUAAUUGUAAUCCAAUAUUUAACUCGAUCUCCGAAUGUUUUAAAACAAAUUUCAGCAUAGUCCUUGAAAUCAUUCACAAUUCUAUUACUUAAGAAGCUUUCAUACUUCUUUUCAAGGGCUUCCGGCGGAUCAAAGUGCAGAAGUGUCACAACAGGCUUGAUGUCAUUUUUAAUCAACUCAUCGAUGAAACUGUUGUAAUGAUCGAUACCCUCUUGAUUUAUUCCACCACUCAAAGUUCCAUCAGGCAAAAUCCUUGUCCAAGCUAUGGAAAAUCUAUAGGAAUUAACGCCGAGGUCUUUCAAAAUCGAUACAUCUUCCUUGUAGCGGUUAUAUGAAUCAGCAGCUACAUCCAAGUUGCUUUUGUCUAUUAUUCUGUCCGGGUAUUCUCGAAUAAAUUGGUCCCAAACACUUGGUCCUUUGCCUCCUAAUUUAGCCGAUCCUUCAGUCUGCGCAGCAGCAGUUGAUGCUCCAAAAAGAAAAUCAUUUGGAAAAUCUGACCUUUUAAUGUUGGAAAGGGAUUCUUGAGUUGAUUCGCCAUUGGAAGACAAGCAAGCAAGCAAAACAAAAACAGAGAUCCUUACCAGACGCUGAGUUACAGAAAUUGACAACAUUCUUAAAAGUUGUAACCUUGCGGUUUCCGCAACACACAAAGUAAACAACAAAACAGAAUUUUGUGCAAGGAUACACGGAAGAAUGGCAUUUUAUGAAUGAGUACCCAUCAAAACUAUCUAACAGAAAACCUAUUUUAAGUAUAGUUCCUAAACCGUGAAUGAGACAAUAUUUCCAAUUAUUUGUUUUAGUUAACUAAUUGUAAAUUGCUAACCAAUUUAUUCCAAAAUAACCUGAUUUACUAUUUAUAUAAAAAUUACUAAUUAACUAACAUAAUAAAAACAAAUUCAACAAAAUCUGAACAUCAUGUGGUGGCCUAAUAGUUAAGGGUGUUUACCGCCCUAGGUGUGGCCAGGGGCAAAGUCAGAGAAAUUUUUUAGGGGAGUCGAAAUGAAAUUUAAUUUUUUAAUAGUCUAUAUCUUUAUAAUUUCUAAAGGAUUAAAUUAAAUUUUUGUAAUUUUAGGAGGGCCAAAGUAUAAAUUUACUUUUAUUAAUUUAAAAUUUUAAAAUUUUCUAAAUGGUUAAAACAAUAAUUUUCCAUUUUAAGGGGCCGGAGCCUCUACUAGCCCCUAAAUUCGCCUCUGAAUAUGGCUUGAGUUCUAAUUGCGUUGAUUGUUCAGGCUUUCACCUAUUAUUAUAAUUAAAAAAAAGCGAAAUCUCUUUUAGAAUUUGCCAACAAUUUGUACCAAAAUCAUUAAACCAACUAAAUUCAUCCACUCUUCAAAUUCAAUCUAAUUAUGUAAUCAAAUGUUUUCUUUCUUUUCCUUUUUUUUUUAAUUUAAAAGGCUUAAUUAAUGAUUUGGUCCUUCAAAUAUACUUAAAAUUUCACUUUCGUACUUAAUUUUUUUUAUCCCAAUUAAAUAUUUGAAGUAUCCAAAUAUUAUAUAGUUUAGUCCAAAAUUUAACUACAUUAAAAAAAAAACCUUAUCGGAUUAAAUUAUGUCAUAUGUUUUUAUUUUUAAGUCAUAAUCCCUUUAAUAGUUAGAAAACGAAUCGAAAGAAUUAAAGGCCACCGUACAAAUUCCAAAAAUCAUAACUGAAAAUUUAUAUUUUAACUCACCUUGUGGUAUCCUAUUCCCACAAGCUCUUCAUAUUUACAUUUUUAUUAAUUUAAUUUUUAUUUUUAAUUCAAUUUCACCAUUAAAUUUUUAAAAAAAUUCAAAUUGUUUUUAAACAAAAAUAUUAAUAAUAUUAUUAUUUUUAACGAUAUUGAUGUUGCAACUUGCAUAAUAAUUCACGUAUAAUUCACGUUGAAGUUACAUUAUUUGUCUUAACAAAAAUAUUAAUAAUAUUAUUAUUUUUAACGAUGUUGAUGUUGCAACUCGCAUGACAAUCCACUUAUAAUUUAUGUUGACAUUACAAUAUUUGUCUUACACGUUAUUUUGGGAAAUGUGCCCAUAUUGUAAUAAAAAUGUAAUUGUUUUCUAUAUAUUUGAACGAUAAAUAAAUAAAUAAAGUUAACUUCAUAUUUUACUAUUAUGUUUUUUGUGUUUCUUUCCUUCAUGUUUUACAUGUAUAGCAAAAUUGUAACAAACAAAUAUUAGCUUAUUAAUUGUCUAAAUUCAAACUGAUGAUAAAUAGCACUGUAAGAAUAUUUACAUUGCAAGAAAAAUAACUUAUUUCAGUAGAUUAUCUAAACAAAUCAGUAAUCCCAUAAAAAAAUAAAAAUAAGUAUUUUAUUCAAAUAUUCAAAAGGAUUAUGUUGUCUACAAUUUCAAUUUGGGAGAUGGUUAGUUUUGGCUAUCGGAGCAGUUAACUUCACAAAUAAAGACUAGAUGAAUUAAUUGAAAAAUGAUAUAUUUGACUGGAUCCAAAAUAAAUUAAUUCUAAAUUCGUUCGUAAAUUAAUAUAUUUGUGACGUCAAUUGUGUGAUUUACCUAAAUCCUGAAUCAGUUACUAACCAUGCGUAUGUAACUCAAAUGUUUUGAUAUAAGUAAAGGCUUAUACUCUAAAAAUGAUCUAGCAAUAGUCGGUAUGUUAAGUACAUGACUUGUAUAUAACAUGGAUUUACUAGCAAUAAUAGAAUUCAUAACUCGAUUAAAGAGUUAACGAUACCCUUUCGUUGGCAUUAUGUGGAUUAAUAAAAUAUGAAACUUGGUUACGAGUUACUUUUUCUCGAACAAGCAAUUUAUCAUAGUCAUUUUUUAACAAUAAUAUUAUUAAUCAUUAAGAAGACACAAUAAUGACAGCGAAAUAAAUAGGAUUGUAUUAAGUGAAUGAAUUUAACACAAAUAAAUUAAGGAUAUCAUAUAAGAGUAACACAUACAUGACAAAGUCAUCGGAUAAAAUAGUUAGAUGAAUUGUUUUCGUAAAGAGUAUACAAUAAGGAGUUUUUAAUCAUGAUAUUUAUUGUGGACUGAUUCCAUGGUUAAGUAAAUUGUGAAUUAUCGGAUAAUACUUCUGGACAUAAUCAAAAUUACUAGAGCCUAAUUAUAUAUGUCUAAUUGGUCCCAUGGUUAGCUUAACAAUAACUCGAUUGGACUGCAUUUGAAUUAGCAGAAAAUUUUACGGCUUUGAAAAUAAUUUAAUAGAUUUGAUUUAUUCAAUAUGGAAUUAAAUUGAAGGUGUUGAUGAUUAUUCAACUAGAGAAAUUGAUUAAAGAAUUUUGUUGAAAAUUUAAUUUUGAAAAAUUUUAAUAAUUUUUGAGAAAAUUAAAUUUGAUUAAGCAAAAUUAAAGUAACCAAUUUGAUUAAAAUAAAUAUUAUAUUUUUAGAAAUUAAUUUCAAGUCAGAGAAUUGGCUAAAUCGGUAAUUGGACUUGAGAUCGAAAUUGGGCCCAAGAACCCAAAAUAUAAACUAAAACCCAAAACUGGAGCCUAAUAUGUGACAUCAAGUCGACGGUCCAGCCGGUGGCUGGAUCGAACCAGUUGGGUUAUCACUAUGCCUGAACUGAACUGGCAAUAGCCAAAUCGGUUCAGGGUGCUAUGAAGGUGUCACAACUGUGGUGACACCAUCGGACAUAGUGGCUAUGAUGAUGACAUUUCAGUAGCCGACGGAUGGUCGGCGACGGUAGUUCUUCUGUGGUUGAGCAGUGAAAGAAUUACACUUCGACUGAUACUCUAGCAGAUAAUUUGAUUUCAAAUUAAAUAUUCCAAACAUAAUAUUAUUUUAAUAGUUUUAAUAUUAAAUUUAAUAUUUAUGUUAUAGAUAAGUAUUCUAUUAAUUUAAUAUAUUUAAUGUUAAAUUUAAUAUGAUAUUUAUUUGUAUUAAUUUAAUAUUAAAGUGAUUAAGUUUAAUAAUAAUUGAAUUUUAUAAACUCUCCCCAUAUAAAUAGGUUUAGAUCAAGAGAAAGUUAUAAAGAGAAAAUCUGAUUCGAUAAACUUGAGCAACUUGAGGAUAGUGAAAAAAAGCAUUUAUUCUGACGAAUAAAAAAGGUAUAAUUUUAAUUAAGUGUUUAUUAUUUUAAACCUAUAUUUACUGUAUUUAUUAUAAAAAACAAUUAAAUUGUUUUUAGAAAAUUGAUCAUUAAUUUCGACUCUUCACGAAAAAAAAAAAACUAACAAAAUCUAAAAUUUAGAUUGACAAAAAUUAGACAUUAAAAGCUUAAUUUCUCAUUAUAUCUACCCUAUUUAAUUACCGGUCUAUCACGGUUAUUUUCAAUUUAUUGAAAUUAAUCGCAUUGUUUAUCAAAAUGAAUCGUCAAUUUGAACAGCCAGGAUCGUCCCAUUGGAAAUGGGCCACUCUGCACUUCAAACAAAUAAAUUAAAAUAAACAAAAAUAUACUUAAAAAUUCUAUAAUUCUUUUUUAAGGAGCGCUUCCACCGCCACCGCCGCCUCUUCCUAGGGUUUUCGGCGGCCUCUCUCCGCUACCAACACAGUAAACCUCCCUCUCUUAUCCACCUCAAUAUUCAGGUUAUUUACCUUCAUGCCCCUCUCUUACCCCUUACUUCCAUUUACUUCCAUUUAUCGUUUCUCAAAAUCAAAAUUUUUGCCCUCCAUCUCACUUUUUAUUUACGUUUUUGACACUGUAGCUUAGCUAUUUUCACUUCACGUUCUUUCAUCUUCGAUCAACUAGGGUUUUGCUUUGUUUUUUUUUUCUUUCAUUUACUUAUUAAUAUUUUUUUUAUUUUUAGUUUUCAAUUUCUGAAUGGCUAAAUCUUCGAAUCCGGAAGGGAAGCCCGGUGUGCGAAUCGUGGUGGCCGGAGACCGAGGCACUGGAAAGUCGAGCUUGAUUGUAACAGCAGCCGCCGAGACUUUCCCGACAAAUGUGCUUCGGUUGUUGCCGCCAACAAGGUUGCCGGAAGAUUUCUACCCCGACCGUGUCCCCAUCACCAUCAUUGAUACCUCCGCUAAGUAUAUUUCUAUUAAUUAUUCUCUACAUUACUUGCUUUUUUCAUUUUUGUUAAUAUUUGACGCAAUUCUAGUGUUAUUUGGAGCUGUAAUUGUAUUUUUUAAAAUGAAUUUAUAGUGAGAGAAUUGUAUAUUUUGUGUAACAGCUUUAGCUUGGACUUAGUUUAGCGCAUUAAAGAAGCAGGAUGUGAUAAGAUAAAAUCUUGUUUGCUUUGAUUAUGGCCAUGUUUGCAGUAAUUGUAGCAUUUUAAAUGAAUUUGUAGUGAGAGAGGUGUUAAAUUUUGCUUUAGCUUCGACUUAGUUUAGGCGUAGCAUUAUAAAAACGCAGAAUGUGGUAAGAUAAGUUCUUGUUUUCUUUGAUUAUGGUCAUGUUUUGUCUUAAGUUUAUUUAUUUAUUUAUUGUUUUUCCUUUCUAGUCCGGAGGAUAGAGGUAAACUAGCAGAAGAACUGAAGCGAGCUGAUGCACUAGUGCUUACUUAUGCGUGUGAUCAACCUGAAACCCUUAACAGAUUGAGUACUUACUGGCUUCCAGAACUUCGGCAAUUAGAGGUUUUUAUCUUAAUUUGCUUUUGUUCUUGUGUAUUUGUGCUAGUUUGUUCUUUUGAUAGAAAACAUGUUAAGGUGAAGUAAGUUGUCAAUAUCUUUUUAACAGUGUUGGGCCUGCUAUUAAUUCUACUUCAUGUGCCUGUGUAGGACCCAUAGCAAACUCUAGAAGGCUGAUGGUUAUGAGGAAAGUGACCUUAUGGAUAUAGGGAAAAAUCACAAAAUAUCAUCAUGUCGUUACUUUUUCAUAUUUAUAGCAUUUGAACCAGUUUCAAAGGAAUUUAAAUAUGCUUUCAGGAGGCCAGUUGGCUCAGUCAGGAUUUUACUAUACUUAAUAGCACAUUAUCUUUUCUUACUACACCUUGUAGAUCACAUGGAUAUUUUUUUUCUUUCAUGAAUCUACUUUUGAUGAGACUGAAGUAAAUUUCUGUUGAUUAGGUGAAAGUGCCUGUUAUAGUAGUUGGCUGUAAGCUGGAUUUAAGAGAUGAUCAGCAGCAAGUGAGCUUGGAACAGGUGAUGUCACCGAUAAUGCAACAGUUUCGGGAGAUUGAAACUUGUAUCGAGUGUUCAGCAUAUAAACACAUUCAGGUAUGGAUAUAUGUCUUUUGUUUCUUUUGGAGGUUAAUUUGAAAUUCUGGUGCUAUAUAAUGCUGAUAAAAUGUAGACUAGUUUUAGCACCAAUUCCUGGUUUUCGCUUCUUGAGUGAAUUGUUGUCAGAUUUGCACACAUCAAUACUAUCAGAGAUUGAACUUUUAAAGUAUUUCCUUUUUUGGUAGAUCCCUGAGGUUUUCUACUAUGCACAAAAGGCAGUGCUUCAUCCAACAGGCCCAUUAUUUGAUCAGGAAUCACAAACUUUGAAGCCACGAUGUGUGAGAGCCUUGAAGCGAAUUUUUAUUCUCUGUGAUCAUGACAGGGAUGGUGCUCUUAGUGAUGCUGAACUCAAUGAUUUUCAGGUUCCUCAUUUGUUCCUUGACUUAUUUUUGUCUUUUAUUUUUAAGGUGGUUAGGACCUGUUUGGGUAAUGGCUUCAGUGUUUAUGAAUAAUGAUUGUCCUGACCAGCUUUGACAUUACCCAAACACUGCUUGAUGUGUUGAAUGCUUAAAAUUUUAAGCUCAAAACAAAAUAUUUUCUCAAUGAUAACUUAAGCUAUCUUGUACUUAAACAUCUAAAAAAAUCCGAUAAUUUGUUGUAAAAUAGGUCAAAUGCUUCAAUGCUCCAUUACAACCUUCGGAAGUAGUUGGUGUGAAAAGGGUUGUGCAAGAUAAGAUGGUUGAAGGAGUCAAUGAGCGCGGUCUUACAUUGACCGGUUUCCUAUUUCUUCACGCACUAUUCAUAGAAAAAGGCCGCCUUGGGACUACAUGGACUGUCCUGAGGAAAUUUGGAUAUAACAAUGACAUCAAACUUUCAGAUGAUCUAAUUCCACAUUCUUCAGUUAAACGAGCUCCUGAUCAGGUAAUGCUUCAUAGUAAACAUUAUUUUUAUAUGAAAAACUGAAGUAAGCAUUUAUAACUGUUAUUCCUUUGGUGGUUGUGUUUCCAACUAGAAUUGACUGACACAUUGUUUUUGCUUACAAUAUUGUACAUACGAGAAUUGGUAAUAAUUCGAUGUGCUGUAGAGUGAAAUUUUUACUAUGACUGGAUAUAACCAUUUAAUAAUCAUAUAUUUGAUUACCAUUGGAAUGCCUCGCUGUAUUUAAGAUGAGCAGUGCCUAAUUGGUUGAUAUUAGAUCAAUUUUUGUCUUAUUUCAAAUAUAAUGUACUAUGUUUGUUAUCAUAUACACUUUACUGUGCCAUUUUUUAAACUUGACAUUAUGAUUCUUUGCUCUUCUCUUUUUUAAUUUGUGUAGAGUGUGGAGCUGACAAAUGAAGCUAUUGAAUACCUGAGGGGCAUCUAUGAAUUGUUUGACGGUGACUUAGUAUGUCUCAGUCUUUUCGCACAUUUAUUUUAGUGUGAUGUACCUUGCCUUUGACAUUGUCCGGUCUACAAAUAUUAAUGCCCUAACAACUUGAAUAUUGUUCUUUUUCAGGACAAUAACCUUCGUCCAGUUGAAGUGGAGGAUGUUUUCUCAACUGCUCCCAACAGGUAUUAUGGUUCCCAAUUUGAAGUAACAUUAGUUCAUUUUCUUUUUAUUAAAUUGCAAUAUGUGCCCUAUUGAGAAGGGAAUUUAAGGGCAGGGAUGUCUUUUCCGUCCCAACUUUAUCCCUUUUUUAUUUUCUUUUACUUUGAGUGUGGGUGAGCAUACCAAUUUGGUCUGUCAAAAAAAGUAGGAUAACAAGCUAUUGCUGACUAAAUAGAAAGUAAAGAAGUUGCUUAAAUGAGGGGAUUUUAUUUUAGAAAAACAAGUGUUUAUAACCAUGUAUUUUGCGCAUAUAGAUAAUCUCUAUUAUUAUAAGUUGCCAACAGGACGCUGUUGUGGAUAAUGCUUGACAUUUUUUCUGUUUAACUUCAGCCCUUGGAAUGAUGUACCGUACAAGGAUGCUGCAGAAAAAACUGCACUGGGAGGGCUAUCUCUUGAUGCAUUUCUGUCAGAGGUAUUCAUGGUUUCCUAACUUCUUGAAAUGGGAAUAUCAUACUUCAUGCAGUCUCAUAAGAAUUAAUUCAUUGUUGACUAUGCUAUGUCUGAGGAAACUCUAAUGCCUCUUAUCUUAUGAAAACUUUGACUUGUUCUUGUUUUGAGUUUUGCAGUCCAACCAUUAAUUCAUUAUGGAAAUAAUGAAUAGCAACCCUAUGAGCAUUUGUGGCUGCUUAUGAAAAUGUUGUACUGUGGUUUUUAUUUCAUUUGGGUGGAUUGGCUUUUGGGGUUGAUCAUUACUUCAUAUAUUGGCUAUUAUAUAUGUCAGCCUGUGCUUGUAAUUUAUUAUUUUAUGUUGUGUGCUGCAGUGGGCCCUUAUGACACUCCUAGACCCAGCUCGUAGUUUGGAGAACUUGAUAUACAUAGGAUAUCCUGGUGAUCCUUCAUCUGCUAUCCGUGUGACUAAGAGAAGGCGCCUAGAUCGAAAGAAGCAACAAUCAGAAAGAAAUGUUUUCCAGUGCUUUGUUUUCGGUCCAGCUAAAUCUGGGAAAUCUGUGUUAAUAAAUUCUUUCCUUGGCAGGUAUUCAUUAGAACUUGUUUCCUAUUAACUAGAUCUCUUUUCCCCAAAUUGAAAAACUUCGUUCACUGUAAUGUAGGCCCUAUUCUGAUAUGUAUUCUCCAACUGUUGAUGACCGAUAUGCUGUGAAUGUUGUGGAACUGCCUGGGGUAAGUUCCAUUGAACUAUGUGCCAUGUUUUGGGAUUGUUUGUUGAAAGCGGCCCCCUAACUCAAAACACAGGGAUUUUUUUUAUGUCUUUCCAGAGGAUUGGGGACUUAAGCUGAAGUAACUUGAACUUUAGCAUAUAUUCAUUUCUUGCUCUUCUAGAUUCUAUACCAUAAAGCAUGUUUUCACGGGUAUACUAGAAAAAUGUUUCAUAAGGUUCAGAUGAAACAAUUUCUUUGAGAUGGUAACCUAUUAGAACCCACAUGUUCCUUGCAGUAUCAAAGCAAUCCCUCCUGGAACUUUCGCUUAUAAAUGCUUAUUGUUUCCUUGGCAUAUCCUUCUGGGCAUUUAGUUAGCAUAGCAAUUACUGAGUUAUAUAUAGCUAGGUUGAUAAAAUUUUGAGCCUUGGUUAACUUUAUUGUUGCUUUGAUGUGUUGAUGUUUCAGCUCUUGUACCAAGUGUAAUUUUCUUGUUCAUUUGUAGGGCAUAAAGAAAACUCUAGUCUUGCGAGAAAUCCCUGAAGAUGGAGUUGCAAAACUACUGUCUAGUAAAGAUUCUUUGGCUGUCUGUGACAUAGCAGUAUUUGUUCAUGACAGGUAAAUCACAGGCAUGCUUAAUUCAAACUAGGGUUUCAAAUCUAGAAGUAUCUGCUAUUAUAAGUUAAAAGAUUUCAGUAUUUGAUCCUAAUUACGCAAAAGGUUGUUCUCACAUGGGUUUGAAGUGUACUCUUUUUAUGUUAAGUAAAGGUAGUUAAACUUUUUUUGUUCCAUGUUUGAAUUUUUAUAAAAAUUCAUUUAGAUGCAUAUCCACAUGUAUUUGUUCCUUUUGCUGAGUGCUAUGUCAUGAUUGUCUGGCCUUUUUCAGUUCUGAUGAGUCUUCAUGGAAGAGAGCAACUGAAUUGCUCGUGGAUGUUGCCGGUCAUGGUGAAGACACUGGUUAUGAGGUGCCUUGCCUCAUUGUUGCUGCUAAGGAUGAUCUGGAUCCAUUUCCGACCGCAAUACAGGAUUCUACCAGGGUAUUUUGCAUUCAUUUUUUUUUCUUUUUUUGGUCUAAAUAAUUUAAAGUUCUGACAUGGUUAAGUGAAUAAGUAGAAUGUCUUAGAAGACUCAUAAAAUUCUAAAUUUUGUGUUCAUUUCAUUUAGACCGAGCAAUAUUAGACUUGAGACUGAAAAAAUAACUAAAACAUUAAUGAUACUAAUAUAAAAAUGCCUCAAAAUGAAUUAUUAACGUGUCAAAGUUAAACAAAGAUAAAUUAACUUAAACACAAUUUUUGACAUAGCAAAAUGUACGAACACAAUACAGAUACACAGAUUUCAGGUCUAAUGUCAUUGAAGAGGUGCAACAUGUGUUUAUGUCACUGUUUGCCUCACCGUAUAGGGUAAUUGCAGGGGAAGUCCUUUGCAGUUUCAUCUUGAAGAACAGGACUGAAUGCAUAUCGUUGCAAAUUUUGCUUUUGCAGGUUAGCCAGGAUAUGGGAAUAGAGGCACCUAUACCUAUCAGCUCAAAAUUGAGUGAUUUCAAUAACAUAUUCCGAAGGAUAGUAAAUGCUGCUGAGCCUCCUCAUUUGAGCAUUCCUGAAACUGAGGCUGGCAGAAGUCGGAAGCAGUACCAUCGGCUUAUAAACCGAUCUCUCAUGUUUGUUUCAGGUACUCUGAUAGUCUGGCAUCCCACAACCGUUUCAUUCUUGAUGCACUCAGAGCUUUGGGUUCUUGAAACAUGGUUUGCCAUGGUUAGAUUUUGUUAUGAGUAGCUGCUGUACACAUCAUUUUUUGCGAUACCCUUGUCUGAAAGUCUAAUGUCCAAUGCAUAUUUGGACAUGGAUAGAGGAUAAGACCCUCCGAAAGAUAUAAAUAAACUUUUAAAAAGAGAUUUGUGCCAAACACAUACCCGUUUCUAACUCUCACUCCACAUCCAAGUAACAUAAGUCGGGGGCAAGUACUAAUGUACCUCUCCUUUUGUGUUUUGAACUUGGGUAUGGUGUGCACUUUAAAUCCUUGACAAUAUCUAGUUAGGGUUCUGUUUAAGCCUUACGCAGGAUGUUCAGACACAUCAGCUUACUGCUCCUUGGCCGUGCUUUUCUUGGAGGAUUAAUGUGCAAGCUUUUGGAAAAUCGGAGACAACACUCCUUUUAUUGCUUCAAAGUUGCUUUGACAUGAAUGUCACUGCUUGUUCUUUUUUUUUUUUUUAAUCUGUUUCUUCCCUCUGACUUGCCUUUUUUUUUUUAACUUCUCUCUUUAUAUUUUAUCUCAAUAGUCACAUUCAUGAUGCUGAAUUGUUAAUCAUUUUCAAUGCCGUGUGUUGCUUUUUACAGUUGGAGCUGCUGUAGCCAUUGUCGGAUUGGCAGCUUAUCGUGUAUAUGCUGCAAGGAAGAAUGCCUCCAAUUAAGGAUGAAGAUUCUCCUAUCUCUUACACACUAAACAUGGUAAUUUCAUCUUCUUAGAAACAUCUAUUCCUUGCUUUUAUCAAAUUUCCACUCCCUCAUUUCCGUUCAUAUAAGAAAUCCUUAUACGGAGAAAAAAAAACCUGCAAAAAAUCUACUGUCGUAUUAAUGGUGGAAGAGUUUGAUGUGUAGAAAUAUUAGGAGGAAAAAAGGAAAAUGUUGAACUGAAUUGUGUAAUGAAAAAAUUUUGCUUAGAUUUUUAGCCAUUUUGUUACAAUGUUCAUCGCUUGGUUAUGUUUUUUUUCUUGAAAUAUUGAUGUUUUGUCAUAUUUUCGGACAUGAGAUAGUGAUCUCUUCAAGAACCCUCCGAAGAACAUACUUGUUUUCGAACAACUUCCGUGUUAAAACUACAAUAAAACCAAAGUAUUCAAAAUUGUACCGAUGGUUGAAUUGGUCAAAUAUCGGUUUUCGGUUCAAUCAGUUCAAUUGAAUAAAUUACUAAAAAAAUAUAUUUAAUAAAUAGAGACAAUUGGUUUAACCGAUUCAGCAGUCGGUUUGAUGGUUCAUUGAUCAAUUGGUCUGAUUCCUUAUUUUGAACUGGUAUCUUGACCGGUUCCUGGUCCAGUUGUUCUUGACCAGCUGGUCCAAUCCAGUUAUGAAAACAGAAGAAAACUGGCAUAGGCAUUUCUAGCCUAGUCUAAUCUCUCUUUGAAGUUGUGCCUUGUUGAUACUUCUUAGUUCCGUUUGUUUAUGUUAAUCAUCUCAAAGAGGGGAUUUCAGUAACUUGAUUAGAUAAAUUGAUCUAAAUAAGUUUAUUUGGUCGGUUUGUAAAUUUUUGUUUUUUUUUUAAAUCAAUGGAUAAACUUACGCCUAAUUUUUUAAAAAAAUGGUUGUGUUUUCUAGAGAAAAAUUGUAUGUUUUUGUUAUAAUAAUCAGAUCCGAAUUAUAGUACAAUUACCUGAUCUCAUAAAUUGAUUCCAUGGGCCAAAGCAAAGUAAAAUCUAUCCUAAUAUCAAUGAUCUCAAAAUCGGUUGGAUUAUUACUUGAAUGAAUUUGAUUGGUAUAACUCGUUUAAUUGAAUAAAUUAUUAAAAAAUUUAAAAGAUAAUAUUAAAUGAAAUAAAAUAAAAUAAUUGAGAAAAAAAAUUCUAUUUCAAGUGGUAGGUAAUUUUUUAUUUACUUAUCAUUUUUCAUACUUUUUUAUUAAAUAUGAGUUAUUUUUAUUAUAGAUUAUUAAAUGUGCUUAAAAUAUUAAAUUACUAAAAAUAUUAAUUUUUAAUUGAUUUAUUUUUUAAUGAUUUAUCAAACAAGGUUUAAGUUUGCCAAUAAGGUCUUAGCAUUGUUAAUAAACGCUAAAGCGAUAAGACCUUAAGUACCUAUGUUUGAGUCUCAUUGUGCACAUUUGCAAUGUGUAGGAUGUGUGGCUCUCCAGUUAAAGUGUUUAUGGGUAGAGUUUGGCUUAAGUAUGAUAUUUAUUUUAUAUUUGUGCAAACUUGAUCCAACUUGAUUUUGUAAUAUUUACAUUAUAAUAUUUUAUAGGGUAAACUAUAAAAAUAAUAAUUGUUAUUUGCCUGAGAUUAUAUAAAUAUUACGUUUUGGUUACUUACAUUAUUGUUUUGUUACGAAGUGGUCACUUUAUCAUUGAGCUUUGUUAUCUCCCUAAUGGUGGUCCUAUGUGGUAGUCCAAAUGAGUUUUAAAUGCCAACUUGGAUAUUCUUUAUGACAGUCCAAAUUAAAUUUAUUUAAUUAAUAACUUAUUUUCAUCCCGGCAGUUGGACAUCUAAGUUGGCAUUUAAAACCCAUUUAGACUACCAUGUAGGACUUUCGUUAGGGAGGUAACAGAGCUUAACGGUAGAGUGACCACUUCGUAACAAAACAAUAAUGUAAGUGAUCAAAACAUAAAAUUUCAAAUAUAAGUAACUAAAAUGUAAUUUGAGGCAAACAAAAGUGACUAUUUUUAUAGUUUACCCUAUUAUACAUUUCGUCUUUACUAGUUUCUAGUGUCACAUGCCUUGCAUGUGAUUUUAUGCACUUAAUAUUUAAUGAAAAUUUUAAACCUUUUUUAAUUGUAAAUAAUUAACGAAAAAUAAUAUUUCUUAUUUGAAUUGUUAAAUAUAAAAUAAAUUAACUUAUCAAUUUAAAUAUUAUAAUAAAAAAUUUUAAAUCAUAAUUUAAGCAUUUUUAACAUAGUCAACAUACAAUAUAAUUUUACUUUAUGUAAUUAAUGCAAAGUAAGAUUAUUCAAAACAACAAUUGAUUAACAUAAUAUUAAUAAAAUAACAAUUAAGAUGCUUAGAAUUCUAUUCAAGUAUUAACUAUAUUUUAUAUCAAUGAAAUUAGCACAACAUUUUUAAAAUAAAUUUAGCACAACUUCUUUUUCACAUCAAAUUUUUAAUUAAUAAUUGUAAUUUUAAUUAUCACAAUUUUCCCUAUAUUUUAUGCUUAGAGUUUCAUUUAAGUAAUAACCUAUUUUAAAAUUAGCACAAUUUUUAACUAAUAACUGUAAAUUAAAUUUAAAUUAUUUUAAAUGUAUAAUUAUUACAAUUAUUUUACUUCAAUACUUUUUAUCUUUAAAUGUGAUUUUAGUAAUAUAAAAAUAAAAGGUAUUUUUGUCAAUUAAUAAAUUUGUCUAAACUUGUGCUUUUAUAUAUAGUAUAAAUAUGUUAUAAAUUAUAUAAUACAUAAAAUAACAUAAUAUAAUAUAUGAUAAAUAUAGAAAACAUAUUAGGCCAGGUUUGAGUCUUGGAUGUAUAAGUCUGAGCUCGACUCAUAUUUUAAACUGACUUAACUUUUUUAAAUACAUUUUUCAUGCCUAAUAUUUUUGCUCAAAACUUCUCAAAGUUUGAACAGGCCUUUAGACUUAGUUGAGUGACUCAACCUGUGAACAAGUCUAGUCUCUGGUCUCACCAUGCACAAUUAUCAUGUAUGGAUUUAUAAUUGUAUUAUAUUUGUGGUUAUAUUGUAUUUAUACUUAUAAAUGCUCAAAAAUAUUUAGUGUAAUUAAACACAUUUAUAAAUAAAUUAAUCCAAUUAAUUUCAUCUUGAGUAAGAUAAAUGUUUGUAUAUUCAACAAGUAUGCUUAAAUCUGUCGUGUUUAAAAUUUUCAUAUAUACAAAAUUUUAUACACUAUAUUACAAAUUAAAUUAAUAUAUAUAAUUUUGAGAUUUAUCCCACUAAUAUAUAAAUUUUUUAAAUUAAUAAUUAAAAAUCUUUGAUUUGAUUUUUAAAAAACCUUAAUCAAUGUAUUAAACAAACUCUAAUUUUUUGCAAUUGAGAUCUUGGUAUUAUUGGUAAAGGUGAAAGUUAUAAAUUUUGAGUAUCUAAGUUCGGGAUUAAUUAUACUUAAUCAAAAUAUAUAAAUUUUUGAGUUCUACCAUAAGUUAUUAUCGUGUGUGAGUUUUAAUUUGGUUAAUUAAUUCAUGGUUUGGAUUAUUCCAAUUCGAAGUGUAUUUGUAUUCUAAUGGUAAACUUAAAAAAAUAAACACUAAUUUUCCGCGAAAAACCCUAAUUUAACUUAAUCGGGUUAAAAUUACCCAAACCCAAACUUUUAAAAACCCGAGGCACACGCUCCUUAUAAAAAUACUAUAUAUAAAAUAGCCGUUAGAAUAUCCAACGGCUCAAGUUAUUCCAUUUUGAAUCCAAUCAAAUAAAACGAAAACCCUACCCUCCCUUUCAAAAUUUAAACUCGACACUUUAGUUUAGCUCUCCCUCUCUCUCCCUCUCUCUCGCCAAUUUCUUUACUUUUUUCAAAAAUUCUCAAUCUAAUAUCUUUUCUAAUCUCCUAAUUUCUCUUCCUAAAUCGUUUAAUUUUCUCCCUUGAUUUUUCUUUUCUUUUUUCUAAUAAUCGAGAUCUCUUUUUUUUUUUUGUAAUCAAAUGGUUGAAAUGUGCUCGGAGAGUUGCGAUCAGAUCGUUCUUGAAAAAGGUUAGCGCUCUGGUUUCUUUCUUUCUAUUUCUUCUUCAAUUAUUUAUCAAGUUUUCUGAUCUGUGAAAAUCUGUGAUUUUUUUUUACAGAUCAAACGGUGGAGAAUGAACCGAAGCCUUCUCCGAAGUCUCACAUUGGUUAGUUCAUUUUCUUUUUCUUUCUUUCUUUACUUUGAUGAAAGCAUUUACGCAAAUUUUUAUGAAAUAUUAUCUAAAUUUGAAGAGAAAAAUAGCAAUUAGGGAUGACCUUUACGUGUUAAAAACCCUAGAAAAUUCCUAUUUGGAUUGUACUUGUAAUGUGAUUGAUGAUUCUUGAGUUUUAUUUUGUUUAGUUUAGAUAUUCUAUGUAGCAUUUAUUAAGUUGAAUUUUAAGCAUUUUCUUCUAUUGGCUAGCAAAUGUGUUGCAAUGCUUCUGUUUUUCUUAAUUUAGCGGUGCAUUUGCAUGUUGAAAUGAUCAUAUUUGGGAGAAAGUAUGUUGUUUAUGUAUUUUAGCAAUUAGAAUUUUAAUUUGAAGAAUAUUGGCUGUUUCUUUAGAAAUUUUAGAAGAGAAUACCGAUUCCAUGGAUGAAGAUACUAUAUCCAGCAUGAACCAAGAAAUAUCUUCAGCUCAGGGGCCAACUCUUCCAAUAUUACAGAAAGUUAUUAAUUUGAGUAACAGUGUUCAGGUAAAUUAGAGCUGGAUACUGCUUUUCAUAAGCUUGAUAUGUAUAAUUUUUUUACUUGUUUAUGUCCUCAUUAAUGGUUCAAGGAGUUGACUUUGAUUAACUUAAUGUUACAGAAUUUGAAGAAAGAGCAUGAAAUUCUGUCUGAUCAAGUGAAGGCUUUUCCUGGUCACGACAUUGUAGGAACGCUUCAGCUUCUCAGUAAGUGAUCACAGUAUUGGGUGUUUUUUUAUUAUUUUUAUUUGUUUUUAUUUGAAUUGAUCUUUUACUUAUUUUUUGGUACAGAUAAUGAAUAUGACCUUCUGAAGAAGAAGUACCUGGAUGAGUCAUCAGAGAGGAAGCGCCUUUACAACGAAGUUAUUGAGCUUAAAGGAAACAUCAGGGUUUUCUGCAGAUGUAGACCUCUAAACCAAGUUGAAAUUGCGAACGGUUCCUCCUCUGUAGUUGAAUUUGACUCAUCCCAAGAUACUGAGUUACAGAUAGUUUCUUCUGAUUCUUCCAAGAAGCAAUUCAAGUUCGACCAUGUAUUUAGACCUGAGGAUGGCCAAGGUAACCCCUAAGAUCUCUUAACAGAGUUUACACACCUGAGAUCUCUUUAAGUAGUACUGUAUAUGUUCUUAAUUUUGUGUUUCUUUAACAAUGCAGAUGCUGUAUUUGCACGAACUAAACCCAUAGUAACUUCUGUAUUGGAUGGUUAUAAUGUUUGCAUAUUUGCUUACGGGCAAACUGGAACUGGGAAAACAUUUACUAUGGAGGGAACACCAGAAAAUAGAGGAGUUAACUACAGGACAUUGGAGGAGUUGUUUAGAGUUGCUGGAGAGAGAGGGGGUGUAAUGAAAUAUGAACUAUUUGUCAGCAUGAUGGAGGUCUACAAUGAAAAGAUAAGGGACCUCCUAGGAGAAAGCUCCAACCAGCCUACUAAAAAGUUAGUUCCUAACACUAAUUUAUAUAUGGUUGGCCAAUUUAGCCUUGUUGCAAAACAGACACUUACAUGCAAUCUGUUUACUUAUAUCUCCAUGAAGAAGGAAAUCCGUUGACACAAACUUUAAUAACUAUUCCUAGGGACAAUAAGUAGAGAAGAUAAAUUGGAAGAUAAAAUGAAGCUCAUAAUUUCUAGCCGGUCUCUGGUUAAAGUCCUAAUUUGAAGUCCAUUAUGUUGAUAAAGGUUGGAGAUCAAGCAAGCAGCAGAAGGGACACAAGAAGUUCCAGGACUUGUUGAAGCUUGUGUUUACAGUACAGAGGAAGUGUGGGAGCUACUAAAAUCUGGAAACCGGGUCAGAUCAGUUGGAGCUACCAAUGCCAAUGAAUUAAGCAGUCGUUCUCACUGGUAAUAUAUUAGUUUCUAUUUGUUUUGUUUCUGAAUUAUGUUUAAGAAGCUAGACUUUUAGUGAUCUAAUAGGAAACUUUUACUAUUCAACAACUCUAGCUGAGAAAUAAUGGUGCAUUUAACUAUAAUGACCAGAAUCUCUCUCUUUGCAGCUUGUUGCGUGUAACUGUAAGGGGAACUAAUUUGAUAAACAGCCAAAAGACUAAGAGUCACCUGUGGCUGGUAGAUUUGGCUGGCAGUGAGCGUGUUGGAAAAAUCGAAGUUGAAGGUGAAAGGUUGAAGGAAUCCCAGUUCAUAAAUAAAUCUCUCUCAGCGCUUGGUGAUGUAAUUUCCGCCCUUGCAUCCAAAACAGCCCAUGUUCCUUACAGGUUUCUCCCUCUCUCUUUCUUUUCAAACAACCAAAUAAAAAAAAUCAUUAUGUCUAACAUCAACACUUUUUCUACUUUUCCAUGGAAAACCAGGAACUCAAAGCUCACACACAUGCUACAGAGCUCUCUAGGUAAGCUUUAUCUCAUCGUAGUACCAGUGGAAGUUGAUUCCCUUUAUUCGAAGCUAGCUUAGUAGCUUAAUGGAAAAUCAUGAAAUAAUGCAGGAGGAGAUUGCAAGACCGUGAUGUUUGUACAGAUCAGCCCGUCUAGUGCAGACCUUGGUGAGACCCUUUGUUCAUUGAACUUUGCUAGCCGAGUUAGGGGGAUUGAAAGUGGUCCUGCCCGCAAACAGGUGGACCUUACCGAGCUUUACAAGUACAAGCAAAUGGUAUAACAAAUCAUUGUAAUAUAAAUGUUUCCCUCCAACUUUUCCACUGGAUUCAAUUUGUUUGACCUUUGGUUAUUGAUUAAUUAACAGGCAGAGAAGUUAAAACAUGAUGACAAAGAAACAAAGAAGUUGCAGGACAAUGUACAGUCCUUACAGUUGAGACUUUCUGCCAGAGAACAUAUAUGCAAAAGUCUCCAAGAAAAGGUAAAUCAUACAUUAAAUAAAUCGAACCGGUUAUCUCUGAGUAGAACCGCCUUUUUGGAUCAUAAACGUUUUUUCCUCUUCGUGUUUGAUGUCAGGUUCGUGACCUAGAAAAUCAGUUAGCAGAGGAACGGAAAACCCGAUUAAAGCAAGAAUCCAGAGCUUUUGCUGUUGCUGCUUCUACUAGACCAUCUCUUAAACAAGCGACUGAGAAUACCAAAGCGGAUAAAAAGCCGCCACUUGGUCCAUCAAAACUGAGGUUACCGUUGCGAAGAAUCACCAACUUCAUGCCCCCAGCAUCACCUAUGGCCACAAAAGGAAAGGCAACUAGAAUGUCCAUGGUAACAGCACCACCAUCAGAUGACAAAGAAAACAACUCCGAAACCGUGAUGGCACCACCAACAAACACGAAAAACCUUUUGAAACCGAGACGUACUUCCAUUGCUGUCAAACCUCCGGUCAAGACACAAGCUUUUCAGCCUAAACGGCGAGUAUCCAUCGCUACCCUCCGUCCAGAUGCCCACAUGACAACAACACCACUCCGUCGGUCUGCUUCCGGUUUCAACAAUGUUGGUACAAUGGAGAGACCGUCAUUGGCGCGUGAUCCCAGGAAAGCAAGGUAUUCUAGAUUGUUUUCUCCAUUGCCAGAGUUUAGUAACCCAUCAGAGACAUCACCUGCAGCCAUGAGAAGCAGUAGCAAAUUCAUGGGGAGCCCUCCAGCCGCGCAAGCGGGAUCAUUGAAGCCAAGACAUACGACCGUUGUUGCUUUACAACGGAAAUCGUUGGUGUGGAGUCCCCUAAAGUUAAAAGGUAUGCAAAGUAGUUACCGGAAGUCGUCGUUUUUGCCUUUACGACAUUCUUCCGAUAAGGAAUGAAGGUUUGAAUUCGACUCACUGUUGCUACCCUGUUAAACGGGUUAAUUACCAGAAGUGAACAUGCUGUUCUCUAUACAUUCAUUCUUCUAUUAUUGCGUUCCAUAUUUUCUGUGAUUUCUAGACCAAGCAGGCUCCUUCAAGAAUCGUAUACUUACAUUCUUGUAUUUUGGUCCUAGAAGUUGGAUAAAGUUUACAAAUUCUAAUUAGCAUAGUUUUUUUUUUGUUUUGUCAUAUUGAGUAUGUUUUGCCCACGAAUUCGCCUAGCUUCAAAUUUUUUUAUAUGGUUUUAAUUAUAUUUUAAUAGAUGUUUAUUAAAUUUUAAUAUGUAUUUAUUAAAAUAAUUAUACUUACUUUUUUUAUUAAUUAAAAUUUAGCUAAAAUUAUAUUUUUUUUAAAUCACAAAUGUUAAGCAUAAUUUGUAUAAGGUAAAAUAUCAAUUUGUAAUUUGAUUUAAUUUAUAAUUUGAUACAUAAACUUUGAUUUUGUGCAAUUAUACACAUUUAAGAAAAUAAAUACAUCAAUUUAUUUAUAUAUUGGAUAAAUAUAAUUAUUUAUGCAUUUAUUAUAUAAAAAAAUAAAAAUGGUCUUACAUAGAUAAUGUUGUUAAUUGUUUAUGAAAUUAAAUCGAAUCAAAAUGCUAUGUAUAAAAUUACACAAAUAAAAAUUCAUAUACAAUUUUAUAUGUUAAAUCAAAGUUUAUGUAAUUUUAAUAUUUCUCCUUAAUUAAAUAUUUACUAAAAUUUUAAUAUGUAUUUAUUAAAAUAAUUAUAACAAUGAUAUUUUAUUAUUAAUUAAAAACUCGUUAAAAUUAUUUUAAAAAAAUUCAUCAAGAAAUGACAAAUGAUUUCUUAUGUUAGAAAUGUCAAAAUAAUGUAGAUUAAAAAUGUGUUUUAAUAAAAAAUUAUGUGACCAUUUUAAUCGUGAUAGUUAAAAAUAUUUACGUUAAAUUAAUUAAUAUUAUUGUAAAAAUAAAUGAUUAAAUUAUGUCAAAUAAAAAAUAUAAUGACUAAAUAUUAAAUGUGAUAGUAAAGAGAUAAAAAGAAUAUAUUAUAUUUAAAAUACAUUAAAUAUGAGUAGGGCUAAUCUAACCUGAAGCCUAAAAAGAAUUCUUCAAGGUGUAGCUCAAAUAAAAAGAAAAGCUUAAAUUUGGUUCAAGCUUAUCUUUUAGACAUCAUACUAUUUUUCUAAACUCUAGUAUUUUAGGCUGGUUUUUAAGUUUGGAUUAACACAAUCCUUGAAUAGGGGAAUUUAAAUUUAAUGAUUAAAAACAAUAAUUCUUUUAAAUUUUAUUGAUGUUUUUAACACAUUUUAUUUAAAUUGUUGAUAUCAUAAAUAUAUACGUAUUUGCAAUUUGAUCAGUAUGUUUUAAAUAUAUUCCGUAUUAAAUUUAAACUAGUAUUUAAUGCUUAAAUUGACAAUUAGAAUAAUAAAAGAUUCUGAUUGAUAUAAUAUUGAUAUAUUAAGUACCAAUUAGAACAUUUUUUAAGUUUAAAAAUCAAUUUAAAUCUACAUGAUAGUUUGAUAACAUUGGGCGUAGUUAACCAUUCUAAACAAAUAAUUUUGAAAACACUCAGCUAAAGUAAUUUAUAAAGGUUAAUUGCAUCAAUCGUCGUCAAACUAUAACUUAUUAUUUAAAUUGGUCUAAAGAUUUUAAAAAUUGUUCUAACUGAAUAUUUAAAGUAUCAAUAUUACAACAAUCAAGUCAUUCUCUCAAUUUAACCAUUAACUUGAGAGUUAAAUACCAACUCAAAUAUAAUAUUGACUGUGGGAUACUUUUAGAACAUAUCAAUCAAUUUGUAAGCAUGGUUAUAUGGAGGUAACUUGGUUUUACCAUGAAUGGUCUUAGUUAUGGGUUGAUUACUUCUCUCUAAUCAAAGACGGAUGGUAUCGGUUCCCCUAGAAAGUUUUUAAAAUUCCUUUUAAAAAAAUUUAUUUAGGCCUUUAAAAAAAAUUAAAAUUUCUUAUUAAAUAUUUUUAAUUAAAUCCUUCCGAAUUUUGUCAGUAUUAAACUUUUAAACUUUUUUGAAAGUUUUAAUUAAACUUAUCAAAAUUUUAAAACAUUCUCAUUAAAUUCUCCAAUUUUUUGAAAUUUUAGUUAGGCCCUUUUUUUAACAAAAUAAAAAUAAAAAUCAAUUAUGAACUAAUAGUAGCAAUAGGGUUGGAUAACAGAAUGUGUCUAUCUAACCGUAUCUAACCAUCAAUCAAUGAAAGAGCAACAUGAAAAAUUCGAACACCAAUAGGAAAACCUUUCAUUAGGUCAACCAAAAUAUCAUAGAGGAAAACCUUUCAUUAGGUCAACCAAAAUAUUAUAGGCACAAUUCGCCUCUCUCGAUAUUUGCUUAAUGACCACUCUCCACUUAUUUUUACACAAUUCUUAGAUUUAUAUCACCAAAUCUUUAUUUGAAUGCCCUCUAAUAUCACCAUGGAGACAUUUGAUAGUUAGAGUACAAUCAAUCUUAACAAUAACAUUUUCCCAAUUAGCCUACUUAACGACCAUCAUAAAUAGCCUAAAGCUCACCUCACUGUAGACUACAUCUACUAAUGUUUCUUCCAAUUCCCUAUAUCCUUUUACCAUACUCAUCACGUGCCACUGCUACAGAAUAAGUAAGUUUCGAACUUGAAUUUAGAUAAUUAAGUUCUUAACUUAUGGGUUUCCUGAAUAUUAAUACAUUAUAAUUGAGGUUUAGAUGAUUAGGUAUACUAUACUUAUAAGCGUAUGUAGGCUAGCCUUAUAGGACAUUCAUUGGAUUGACUCAAUUAAUAUAAAAAAAGUUUUACCAAUAAUUUUAUUGAACGAAAUAUUUUUUUUUGUAAAUUAAAGAUUAUUAUGAAAUAAUUUUACAAGAAAAUACAACUAGAAAUUAAAGAGAAAAGAGUGUUUGACUAAUUGUUUGGUGACCAGGUAUACCAAAAUUAAUUUAAAAUAAAAGUCAUUAAUUAACCCUUCAUAAAUACAACCCAAAUUAUAAUUCAAACCCUCAAGUCCAUACAAUAUUAUAAUUUCUAACGUGCACGGUACACGCAAUGAUCACGUUAGCAUCAUCCACUACCUGCUUUGAAACGCUCACUACUUUAAAGUAAUAAAUUUCAAAAUAGUGAAAGAAUAAAAGAAGAAAAAAAAGUUAUCCUUUAACGUAGGAUUUAAGAGACACGUCAUCAUCAGCCAUCUUGUCUUGAAAAGUGUGCCCAUCCGGUUUUUUUCUUUCUGAAUAUUUAUAUAUUUUUCCAAUUACUUAAAAACUCCAAAAAACAAAAAACAAAAAACAAAGUACAAUUAUUUUUGCAAACUUUUGCCUCUCUCGUUACGUUACCUACAUAUUCUUUUUUAUUUCAUUUUGCCGCUGAAAAAGAAACCGCCGUGAAAAAUGGAAUCUCCAGCUCAACGCCGCCUCAACGCUAUCCAAUCUCACCUCCUCCCUUCCGCCGUAUACGCCGCCGAGGAUGAAUCCUUGAUCGGACGUAAUGUUACCUCCUCCUCUUCAUCUCCACCGUUCUUUGUUGGUAGGUAACUCUGCAAGUCACUGAACGUAUACGUGAUCGUACAUUAAGUAAAGUUGACGACGUGAUCAUUCGUUUUUUUUUUUGUAUGUAUUCCGAAGUUAUAUAUAUAUAUUAAGGAAAUGGAAGUGUUUUUAUGUGUUUGUGUAUUGUUUGAUUGGUUGCUUAUUUUGAUUUGAUCAUCGUAGCGUCUUGAUUAAUCUUAUUAUUUCUUCCGUUCGUACGCACAGUUACUGAUUUGAUUUAUUCUUUUUUUUAAAAAAAUUUCGUUGUUAAAUAGCCAGAAAAUUGAAGUUUUUGAUUUGAUCAUCAGUAUAUGAGUUGAUUAAUCUUAUUCUUGACGUAUAUACGUUGAUUAAUCUUAUUCUUCUUAUUUUAUGUACUUUCAAGUUAAAUAUUGAGAAAUUUUCUGGUUGAUGGCUUAGUUUGAUUUGAUCAUCAUGUUAUAUGAGUUAAUUAAUCUUAUUCUCUUUUAUCACUUUAAUCUUUGUUUUCUCAUUUUUUUGGCUUAUAAUUGUUUUUGUAGAUCAACAGUACAGUGUGGUUCUUCCUGAGAAAUUGCAAACUGGAAAAUGGAAUGUUUACAGGUCUCUGUUUCUUGCUACACUCUGCUUCUCAUUUUGUUUUUGAAGUUUUUUUUUUAAAUGUUGAAUUUGCUUCCGCAGAUCAGCUCGGUCUCCGAUGAAGCUUUUGAGUCGGUUUGAUGAUCAUCCUGAAAUCGGGACAUUGCAUGAAAACUUUGUGUGAGAGUUUUUUUUUCCUGUGAUUGCUCCUUUUAGUUAUAAAGUACUAUACGCUUAUUAUAUGUUUUUCAAUGUUCGGUUACUUAGACAUGCUGUGGAGAAUUAUAGAGAUUACAAGUACUUGGGAACGCGGAUUCGGGUGGAUGGAACAGUUGGGGAGUGAGUUAUUUAAGUAUUUUGUUUUAAAAAGUUUAAAAUUCAAUUUUAUUCAGAAUUAAUACGGGGAUUUUAAUUGUGUGAUUCUGUUAAUUAUGCUUUUCAUAUGAAGGUAUAAGUGGAUGACAUUUGGAGAAGCAGCUACAGCUCGGGAGGCUAUAGGUUCUGGACUUAGGUAUUAUGGGUUAGAACAAGUAAGUUGCUUCGGGGAACUUGGUUUCCCUUGUUUUACAGUCCAGCUUUAUCCAGCUGUGGAUUUACUCGGAACAUAUUAGCUCCCUACACCUAGAAUUCCUUGCUGUUCCAAUGUUUAAUUAUUGAUAUUGUUAAGUCAUUUUUUACUUUUUGUGGUUCUGGAACAGGGAGCUUGUGUUGGACUUUAUUUUAUAAACCGACCCGAGUGGAUGGUGGUUGAUCAUGCUUGUUCAGCAUAUUCGUAUAUUUCAGUUCCUUUAUACGAUACUCUAGGUAUGCUUUUGACUGGUUAAUUAAUUUCUCUCAAGUCUUUGUAGCCCAAUUCUAACAGUGUUCUGCUCUUUUGCAGGUCCUGAUGCUGUUAAGUUUGUUGUAAACCAUUCUGGCAUUAAAGCUAUUUUUUGUGUCCCAGAAACCUUAAAUACGGUCAGUUGCAUUUUUUAGUGCCAUAAAGUUGUGGACCUAUGUUUUGCACCAUACUAGUUUUUAACUUUCUAUAAAACCGUGUAAAACUUAUUGCAUUAACUUCUGAUUUAAAAUAUACUGCUUAUCUCAUUUUGUCUUAAAAUUGCAGCUGUUGAGUUUCAUAUCUUCUAUUCCAUCUGUACGUCUCAUAGUGGUAUGUACUUAUAGAAUCUCAUUAUAGAAUCAUAACAAAACUAUAUGUCUGUCAGGUGUUUAUUCCCACUAAGCAUGCUCUUUCUCUUGGCACUUUUUAUUAUGCAGGUGGUGGGAGGAGCUGAUGAACACUUACCUUCACUCCCCUCAACACCUGACGUGAAGUUCGUAUCGUAUUUAAAAUUACUUGGUCAGGUAUAUAAAUAGUUCUUUGUGUUUUUUUAAGUUCAAUCAUUUCAUCUUCAAUAUGCUGCUUAUAUUUUAUGUUGCUACACGUGCUUUAUGUUGUUGUAUGACUGUUGAUAUAAGAUCAAGUUGUUUUUCAGAACUUAGAAUUUUUCCUCAAAUUAUUUGGAAUGUUGAUAGCUGUAAACACUUUAUACCUGAUUACUGACUAAGUGGUUGUAUUAUAGCAUAGGAUCUAUAAUGAGUUUAUCAAGUCAUCUAACUGAAAUGCGAUCGAAAUUGCAGAUCUGCCUAUUUAAUUUGGCUUCUAGUUUACAUCAACUUAUUCUAAAUGAUUUUCUUUUAGGGCCGCAGAAACCUGCAGCCAUUUUUCCCUCCUAAGCCUGAUGAUGUUGCGACAAUAUGCUACACCAGUGGUACUACAGGGACACCAAAGGUAAGAUUCUUAUGAUAACUUUGAUGUUGGACUUCUCCUGCUAGUUUCCCUUGCAGGCCUUCACUUUCUUUGCUGCCUAACGUAUACUGCUUGUUUUCUCUGCAAAGGGAGUUGUCUUGACACAUGGAAAUUUAAUUGCAAAUGCUUCUGCUUUCUGCCGAAAAGUGAAAUUCUAUCCCUCAGACAUGUGAGUUCAGUGUUCAAUUUAUCACCUGAUAUAAUGCAAACUUACAAUUUUUUUUUUUAAGAUAUAUUGCUUAUUGUUUCUCUAUUUAUCAAUGUUCUCAUUUUAUAGUUACAUAUCCUAUCUUCCUUUGGCGCACGUUUAUGAACGGUCAAACCAAGUCAUCUGUUGCAACAAUGGCGUUGGGGUUGGCUUCUACCAGGGGGUAUGUGACAUUGUUAUUAUAUUAUCUUUACUUAUAAACCAUAAUUAUUCUUUCCUUUUCAAUUUUGCAUCAUUCAUUAAUAGCAGAUAAUGGGAUAAAAGUUUAGAUCUGCAAUAUCUUAAAAGUUAAGAUAGGCAGCUGUCUGUUUGUUUCCCUUUUUUCCUUUUUUUUUUUUUUUUUUUGGUUUGGGGGGGGGGGUGUAUUUCCGUUGGUGUCCAAUUCAAAACUUUGGUCCAGGGUAAAACAGAUAUAAUUUUCUUCCCAAUUCUGUAUUGCUCAAAAUCUGGUUUGGUCUUCAUACAAGUUUUAUGAAGUCUAUGCCCCUCGUGUUUGCAGGACAAUUUGAAACUGAUGGAUGAUUUAGCUGCUCUUAGACCAACUAUAUUUUGCAGUGUGCCUCGAUUAUAUUAUCGAAUCUAUGCUGGGUAUGAUAGUGGUUGAUUUUGGAAAAUAAAUGAAUUGCAAAUUUUUUGUUUAUCAAUUCUUAUUUAAAUCAUUUCGCUGCACAGAAUCACCAAUGCUGUCAGCACUUCUGGUGCUUUAAAGGAGAGGCUAUUUAGAGCUGCCUACAAUUCCAAGAGGCAAGCCAUCAUGAAUGGUAUCCAAGCUAAUAAUUGAGUUUUCCUUUUUUAUUAUAGCGUAAAUUUUCUCAAUAAUUUUCUGCUACAUCAUAUUGAUGAUCAAAGAGAAUGUAUAUAGAGUUAUAAUGAGAGAAUUUGAAGCAUAAAACAGUAAAUUCUAUCAGUAUGCUUGCCUCAUGUUUAGCUAUCCAAUUGCUUGUCCCUCCUACAAUUGUUCCAGGAAGGAAUGCAUCGCCAAUUUGGGACAAAUUGGUCUUCAAUAAAAUAAAGGAAAAGCUUGGAGGUCGAGUACGUAUUCUGGGAUCCGGUGCUUCCCCUCUGUCUCCUGAUGUAAUGGACUUCUUGAGAGUGUAAGUCAAUUUUCUUAGAUGAGGCAAUUGUACAAGACUGCUGUCUCUGAGCAUUUUGUUAGCACUGUACAGGUCCAUAGGCCAUAUCCAUUCAAAUUGGCAACAAUGGUACGAUUUGAUUGUGAUAUGGUAAAGAUAAAAACUGAAUUUGCGUAGCUUUAUGUUCCUCGUCUUUGAUAUGAAAGUAUUUUGCAGGUGCUUUGGCUGUAUGUUAAUUGAGGGCUAUGGCAUGACAGAGACUUCUUGUAUCAUAACCUUGAUGGAUGUAGGGGACGUCUUAGCUGGUCAUGUUGGGUCUCCACAUGCUGCCUGUGGUGAGUAUCCUUGAUUUCUUUCAGGUGGAAACUUUAAAAUAUGGAUAGAAUCAGUAUAUCACUUUCCAGGUGGAUAAAUUGGACACAUUAAUUACCAAAUAUUACAAGUUGAACUUUAGGGACAGCUGAGAAUCUCUAGCUUUAAAUUCUGGAUAUCUAAAUGCUAGUCAUUUUAAAAUGAAGGACUUGUUGGUUAGAGUUCAUCUGAUUUUGGAAUUUUGUUAUCUUCAUGAAUCUUGUUUCAUUUGAUCAUCAAGGUCCUUUAUAUUUUGUUAAAAUCCAUUUUUGUCUUCUCAGAAGUGAAACUUGUAGAUGUUCCUGAAAUGAAUUACACCUCUGAGGACGAGCCAUAUCCUCGUGGGGAAAUUUGUGUGAGAGGUCCUAUUGUUUUUCAGGGCUACUACAAGGAUGAAGUCCAAACGUAAUCAUCUUCCCACGUUGUUAUAUUUGUUGCCUUAUUUAGCAGCAAAUGUUUAAUAGACUCAGUUGCCUUGUUGGUUGAACAGGAGAGAAGUAUUUGAUGAUGAUGGCUGGUUUCAUACGGGAGACAUUGGUUUGUGGUUACCCGGAGGUCGUCUCAAGAUUAUUGAUAGGUCAUAUUUGUUUAACCUUAUUCUCAUAUUAUACGAGGUCUAUAUACGAAUAACACCUUGAUCUAUUCUCUAGAUAUCUACAUAUUUUUAUAUGAGACAGUGAUUGUGCUUUAUUAGUAGUCUUGUUUGUGCAUGUUUUGAUUGCAUGUUGGCUGCAUUCGGUUGCUAGAAGAACCUUUUUGGACACUUUAGAAUAAUGUUGAUCUUCUUCAGUGAUGAACCAUCUGCUUUGGUCAUUUUUAUCCAUGGCAGUUCAACUUUUU
Molecule: long non-coding RNA, 76889 nt
Filed under: Gossypium barbadense (sea-island cotton)
Lineage: Eukaryota; Viridiplantae; Streptophyta; Magnoliopsida; Malvales; Malvaceae
Description: long non-coding RNA (GBAR_LNC010993)
Rfam family: MIR7502 microRNA precursor family (bases 21756-21899)
Source: RNAcentral